Molecule: long non-coding RNA, 57225 nt
Filed under: Gossypium barbadense (sea-island cotton)
Lineage: Eukaryota; Viridiplantae; Streptophyta; Magnoliopsida; Malvales; Malvaceae
Description: long non-coding RNA (GBAR_LNC010947)
Source: RNAcentral
UUCUCCUUGUGUUUGCUUGUGUUUUGUGACUUUCUCAUUAAUGAAUUUCUUUUCUCUCAAAAAAAUUAGUAAUUUUAGACCGGCAUAAAAGUAUAAGGGUAAACUACACUCAAAGUCACCCUAAAAUAGAGUUUAUCCACUCUAAUUUUUUUCAAUUUAAUCAUUUUAAUUAAAAUAAUUACUCGAACUAGUCAUUAUGUUAAAAUUUUCAUUAAUCUACUAACGGAUUAUUGAUGUGGCAUAUUAAUCAAUUAAAUGAUGACACAUAGCAUUUUUUUUUUUUACUUUUGACAAAAACUUAAGAACUUCUCUAUAAUUAAUCCAACACACUUUUUUUCCCUUUCUCUUCUCUCUCUAACUCAAAAGGGAGAAACCAGAACAGGCAUCUAAAAGCUACAUGCCUUUCACCAUUUUCUCAACAAUGGAUCUAUGGCAACUAUCAACGAUAACCAACCAUACAUCCACAAAUAACUAAAGAGGAAUGAACAUAUAUAUAUAAUUAAGAAUGGAUGUAUGGCAUGGAUAAGGCAAGCUUCAACCUUUAUAUAUAAUUCGUUAUAUGCAGGCAAUUCGAAUUUUGGGGAGCUAAGCCAAAAUUCUAAACGUCUAAUAGAUUUGAAUAAUAACCUCAUGUUUAGAUAUUUUACUAUAUUUAAAGAGUUUGGCUGCACACCUACAAGAUUUUACACGAUUUAUUUCUUUAUUUAUAGGAUAAACUAUACCACAGGCUAUAUGUAUCUUGUCCUUUUUCUCUUUACAUCAUUUAAUAAUAAUUUUUUUAAUUUGGUCAUCUAAUUAAUCAAGAUUUUUUUAGUCCAUUUCCCUUAAGUGUUGUUAAAUCUCUAACGAGAGGAUAACUUAGCAAUUAAAAAAUCGAUAAUAACAAAUUUAGCCCUUAAUUUUUACAUAUUAUAUCGAUUUAGUCAUAAAUUUUAAUAAAUUAACUUUCAAAGUUUACAAAUAGUCUCAAUUUGAUCCUCAUAUUUUUUUAAAGAUUUUUAAUUUUUAAAAUAAUUUAGUAAAAUUUUAAAUUUUAUAAAAUUAAUUAAAUGCUGACAUAUCAUCUAUAUGGCAAUCCACGAGUAUGCCACAUUAGGAAAGUUAACAAAUUAUUAAGGAGUUGCUUUGUUUUCAUUUAGAUUCUAUGUUUGCAAGUCGAAAUUAACAUAUGCUAUGGAGGCUUGUCUAGGUUAAGAAUGAGAGCAUAUUGAGAGCUCUUGUAUUAAUUCAUUGAGGAACUGUUUGGUGUGAGAGUGUAAAUUGAAUUGUAAACAUUGGGUGUUUACUUCCGAAGUUCUCAUGGAGAGGAUUUAGAGGUGAAUGUUCUAUUCUUAAUAGGAUAAAUUCUGUUGUGUUGUGGAUUAAAAAUUCUGUUUAUAUUUUAACAGGAUAAAUUAAUUAACACGAGUGACUAAAUUGAGAAAAAUAAAUUAUUUUAACAAGAGUGACUAGUUUGAAUAAUUAUUUUUACGAGAAUAACUAAAUUGAGAAAAAAAAAUUAGAGUGACCAAAAUAGGAAAAAUCAUACUUUAGUGGAACCUUGGCGUAAUUUGCCCUGAAAAUUAUCUUAGUCCGUAGACUUGGUUAAGUUGAGCUGCUUCUAAACUUUAUGUUUUGUUGAUACAGGAAUAUAAAAGAUAAAUUGAUUUAUUUUCAAUAAAAGUUGAAGUAGUCUUCGUUUUCAAAAUUUUGCAUUUCUUACUCGAAUUCCGUCUUUUCCAUUUUCCUUUCCUCCUUUUUCUCUCCUUUAGCUUUUAAGACCUAAAAAGUCUUAAAGAAUGUGGGAAUGGGGCUUUCUUCAUCGACUUUUGUUUCACUAACUUUAUAACAUUUUGUGGUUACAUAAGUUUCCAAUUUAAUGCAUUUUGUUGGAAGAAACUUCCUUGCGCUUCAUGUAUUUUUGUGUUUUAGCUAAAGCUUACGCUAUAUAUUUGGAGUUGUGAGCCAUGGCAAUUGCAACCAUGACUACUCCUCUUCCUAUUUCCUUUUUCCCUUUUCUUCUUCUCAUUCCCGCUAUCUGUUUUUCCAUUUGUCAUGCCAAUUCCAACCUACUUUGCAUUCAAAGUGAGAGAGAAGCUCUUUUGAAAUUCAAGAAUCAUCUUAUUGAUCCUUCAAAGAGGUUAUCUUCAUGGGUUGAAGGAGGGGAUUGCUGUAAAUGGAUUGGUGUCGUCUACCAUAACUCAACAGGCUACGUCAACCAACUGCACUUGGCUGCUCCUCCUCUUUCACAGCCUGAUUUUGACGCACCACUAGCUGAAUGGGAAGCUUAUGUGCGGUCAAAACUACAAGGCAAAAUAAAUCCUUCACUGCUGGAGUUAAAGCAUCUCAAUUCCCUGGACUUGAGCAGUAACAAUUUUAGCAGCAUACAUAUUCCGAAAAUUUUCGGUUUGCUGGAGAGUUUAACUUAUCUUAACCUCUCUUAUGCACAAUUUCAGGGAGCAAUUCCUCAUAACCUUGGGAAUCUCUCAAAGUUGCAGUAUCUUGAUCUUGGAGGUAAUGAUCUCAAAUCAAAAAGUCUUCAAUGGGUUUCUGGACUUUCAUCCUUGCAGUAUCUUGAUUUGAGUUAUGCUGAUCUUCAUAAAGCAAAUGGUUGGGUACAGGUAACAUUCAAACUUCCUUCUUUGUUAGAGUUGCACUUGCCAGGUUGUGAUCUAGAAGAUGUUCCAUCUUCGAUCAGUGUUAAUUCUUCAAAAUCACUGGUUGUUCUUGAUCUUUCUGGUAACUUCUUAUCUUCAGUACCUAAGUGGAUAUUUAGUCUUCAUGGUCUUGUGUCCAUUUAUCUUAGUGAGAAUUCUUUGGAAGGCCCAAUUCCAGAUUACUCUGGGAACAUCUCGUUUCUUGAAGUUCUUGAUCUCAGUGGUUGGAAUCAUCUCAAUUCGUCCAUACCCAAUUCCUUGUAUAGUUUAAACCGUCUUCAGUUCCUUAGUCUUAGUGGUAACCAGUUACAAGGAACAAUCUCGAGUUCCAUUGGAAACUUGAGCUCUGUUACUCACCUCUAUCUUUCAGAAAAUCAAUUAAAUGGUCAAAUUCCAUUGUCUAUAGGAGAGUUAUCAUCUUUGAAGUUGUUUGAUGUUUCAAAAAAUCAGUUAAACGGCCAAAUUCCCUUGUCUAUUCGGCAGUUAUCAUCUUUGGAGUUGUUUGAUGUUUCAGAAAAUCAAUUACAUGGUACUUUUCCAUUGUCUAUAGGGGAGUUAUCAUCUUUGGAGUAUCUGGGUUUUGGGUAUAAUCUAUUAGGAGGAGUUGUAUUAGAAACCCAUUUUUCAAAUCUCAUGAGAUUGAUAACUCUAGCAGCAUCACAUAAUCGGCUUAGAUUUGAACCAAACUCAAGCUGGAUUCCCUCAUUUCAAUGUGAAUGGAUCGAAUUGGGUGAUUGGUAUCUUGGCCCGAAGUUUCCCCAGUGGUUAAAGUUCCAAAAGAAAUUGUCUUAUUUGGAUAUCUCCAAUGCAGGAAUUUCAGAUGUCAUGCCCACUUGGUUUUUGAACCUUCCCACUCCAUUUGAAUAUUUAAAUCUUUCCUUUAAUCAACUUACAGGAGGGAUUUCAUAUUUGAAUAUGAGAGACACUGUUGACUUGAGUUCAAACCGCCUUACAGGUCCAUUCCUAAGAGUACUCUCAACUUUAAGAUUUUUAUUUUUGUCAAAUAAUUCAUUUUCGGGAUCUCUUUCUCAAUUACUUUGUGAUUCAUCAAGUGGAAAACGGAUGGAAGUUCUUUACAUUGAUAAAAAUCUUAUCUCAGGAGAUAUUCCAGAUUGUUGGAGUCAUCGCCAGGAUUUGAACAUUCUAAAUUUGGGAAGCAACAAUUUGACAGGAAAAAUCCCACCUUCUUUAGGGUAUAUAAAUCUUUCAAUGCUAAACCUUCGAAACAAUACAAUGUUUGGAGAAUUUCCGUCCACAUUGCAAAAUUCUACAAAUUUGAUUAUGUUUGAUCUUAGUGAAAAUCAUUUCAGUGGAAGUGUACCAGCAUGGAUUGGUGAUAAGCUCUCAAACCUUGUGAUUCUAAGCCUUCGAUCAAAUAACUUUGAUGGUCAUAUUCCUCAUAACAUUUGUGAUCUUCAAUUUCUUCAAAACUUGGACCUUGCCCACAACAACAUUUCUGGAGUUAUUCCAAAAUGUUUUAAUAAUUUAAGUGCAAUGGCCACAACAAACAAAACCGAUAAAAAAGUUUAUGGGGAUAGUUUUUACCGAUUUUCUUGGAGCGCAUUGUUGGUGUUGAAAGGACGAGAGGAUGAAUAUGGUAGCACACUAGGACUUCUUACCAGCAUGGAUCUUUCAGCUAACAGCCUCACAUGAGAGAUUCCCAAAGAAAUUGGUAGUCUCGUUGGACUAUUGUCUUUAAAUUUUUCAGGGAAUCUCCUAACAGGAAAUAUACCAGACAGCAUUGGCAACAUAGAGUUAAUGGAAUCUCUUGAUUUGUCCAUGAAUCGACUAAAUGGUGAAAUCCCUCCAAGUUUCUCCAAUUUGAAUUUCUUGAAUCACUUCAAUGUGUCCUACAACAACUUGACAGGACAAAUCCCAACAAGCACUCACCUUCAAAGCUUUGACAACUUGUCUUAUGUGGGCAAUCAUCAUUAUAGACCUCCUCUAACUAAGAACUGCGCCUCAAAAGGCAUUCCAACUGACGUUGCAAAUAAUGGAAGUAGCAGUGAAGGAAAUAAAGUGAAUUCGCUUUAUGUCAGCAUAGCUCUUGGCUUUGUAAUGGGAUUUUGGGGUGUAGUAGCUCCCUUGUUUUUCAUCAGGUCUUGGAGGAUUGCAUACUAUCGAAUGCUGGACCAUAUCUGUGGUAAACUGUAUGUGUUUUGGGCUACUAUGGGUAUGUAGUUUGAUAGGAAAAAAGCAUGUAUAAUUGAUGCAUCUGAUCUAGGUGUGCUGCUACAUGAUUGUUUGAUGCUAAAAGAUUAGUUUUUGUGUCUUUCCACUCACUUGGUGUGCUAAUAAGGCGGCCCAUUCGCUGGCAUGAACAGCUUUGUUAUAUGCAAAUCAUGUGGAAUGGGAUGUUUUUCCCUUGCAUCUUUUUUGAAGAAUGUUUAAAUUAUGAUCUUAUGUUGAUACAAAUGCAAAUUACAUCCGGUAGGUUUAGGUGUAUGGGGUGAGCCUGUUGGCUCGGGUUUAGUAGUCUGUCUCCUCUUUGUGUUCACUUUUGUUUUGUUAUUUUCUCAUUAAUGAAUUUCUUCUCUAAAAAAAUAGUAAUUUUAGACACGUACAAAAGUAUAAGAGUGAACUACACCCAAUGUCACUCUAAAAUAGGGUUUGUCCUAUUUUGGUCACUCUAGCUAAUUUUUUUUUCAAUUUAGUCACUCUAAUUAAUGUUAUUAUUCAAACUAGUCAAUAUUGUUAAAAUUUCUAUUAAUCCACUAAUAGAUUGUUGUUGUGCCACAUCAGCCAAUUGAAAGAUGACACGUGACACCAGAGGGCAAAGCCAGGGGGCUGGCGGGUGCCCCGACCCUCCUAAAAUAAAAAAUUUUUCAUUUAGACCCCUUUAUAAUUUAUAAAAUUUUAAAUUAGUAAUGAUAAAAUUACACUUUGGCCCUUCUAAAAAUAAAAAAAAUUGGGUUAAUCUUUUAAAAAUUAUAAAGAUAUAGACUAUUAAAAUUAUGAUGAAAUUGUAUUUUUACUACCAUAAGAAUAUACAAUUUAAUACUGGCCCCACAAAAAAAAUUUCUUACUUUGUCCCUUCGUGGCACUUUCUUUUGAUUUUUAACUAAAACUUAAGAACCACUCUAUAAUUAAUCCAGAAUACUUUUUUUUUUUUUGUUUCCCCUUUUCUUCUCUUUGCAACUCAAAAUGGAGAAACCAAAACAGGCAUUUCAAAGCUACAUGUCCUUCACCAUUUUCUCAACAAUGGAUGUAUGGCAACUAUCAACGAUAACCCACCAUACAUCUACAAAUAAUUAAAGAAGAACGAACAAAUAUAAAUAAGAAGGGAUCCACGGCAUGAAUAGGGCAAGGGCAAAAGCUUCAUCCUCGUCUUGAGAUAUUUUUGCGAUAUUAAAAGAGUUUGACUGCAGACGUACAAGAUUUAUUUAUUUAUUUAUAGGGAAAACUACACCAUAAGUUAUGUAUAUUGUUUCAUUUUUUUUUAUCACUCAAUUAUCAAUUUUUUUUAUUUAGUCUCAACUAAUUAAGAUUUUUUUUUGGUCUAUUUCCAUUAAAUGUCAUUAAAUCUCUUAUGGGUGGGUGAUGUAAGAAUAAAAAAAUCGAUAAUAAUAGAUUUAGCCCUCAACUUUUACAUAGUAUAUUUAUUUAGUUAAAUUUUAAAAAAAAUUCACCUUCAAAAUUUACAAAUGAUCUCAAUUUGAUCCUCAUACUUUUUUAGUAAUUUUAACGAUUUUUUAUUUUAAAGAAAAUGUAUGACAUAUAGUGUAUAUAUAAACAUGCUUUCUCAUAAUUAAUUAAUAUAAAAAUAUUUUCCAAUAAAAAUGUAACUUAUUAAACUUCCUUUUUUUAAUUGGCUUUAGUGGUAAAAAUUGAACCUUAAUCAUUACAAUUAGGUUAAAUUAAUCAUAUAUGCCGAAAUAGUUUGUUAAUUGGUUAUAUAGGUCGAUUUUUUAAAAAUUUACAGAAAUAGAUCGUUUUUGGAGAGAGUGUGACCGCGCUUUCUGCAUAGGUGGUUGGAAAGAUCAUCCAACUGGGCGAGCUUUUCUAUUGACAUGUCAGGGAAAGCAUGCCUAACUGGAUGUGUUUUUUUUUUUUUGAAUUUUCAGAAAACGCUUUCAGGUGGACGAGCUUUCACACACUCUCUCCAAAACUGUUUAUUUCCCUAAAUUAAAAAAAAACAGCUUAUUUAGUCAAUUAACAAUUUUUUUUGACAUAUAUGACUAAUUUAGCCCUACAAUUAAGGGUUUAAUUUAUGAUCACAUUAUAUAUUAUUAAAACAUGAUGUAAAAAGAAAAUUAUAAGAGAGAGAAUGAAAGGAUGAGUGGUAGAUUUAAAAAUUAAGUUCUUCGUGUGUGUGUGUAUAUAUAUAUAUAUGUAUAUGAUCAAUAUUUCAUAUAUAGAUAUGUAUAUGGUCACAAGAUAAUUAUUUAUACUAUAAUAAUAUGUCUGAUUAAGUUUAGUGUCAUAAAUCAAGUGAAACCAACUCAAUUGGUAGAAGCACAGAAAAAUUAAAGUUAUUUUUUAAAAAAUAUAGAGUUAAUUAUAUCAUUUAAAUAUUUUAUAAAACAAAUUAAAUUUAUUCAAUACUCUUAAACUAACUAUUUGAAAAAUCAUUUUUUCAAUUAAAACUAUUUGUUGAGGCAUGUUGCAUGCUUCUGUGAUGAGUGGCACUCAAUAGUGCCUAUUACAAACUACCGUUAAGACAGUAAAUAUACUUGUCAUAUUUGAGUUGAAAAUUUUAUGCAACAAAAUCUUUUGACUAGUGUACAACCCAACUUUUUCCUGAGGCCCAUAAAAGAAUAACCUAAAACCCAACCAACUAAACCCAAUAUAGCCUAAACAAACCCUAGCCCAACUAGCCCAAACCUAAAAAGAAAAAAACAACAACAACAACAAAGAUUGCAAACCCUAGGUGCGCCGCGCCUAGGGUGUCUGACCUCCCCACGUCAGCCACCAUACCGCCGCUCCACCUGCUACCACCUGCUCCUGUUCCGUCACCUGCAAAAGGAGGGACAAACACGCAAUAAACAAUAGCAAAUCAUUUGUAAAUGGCUAUAAAAAGCCAUAUGAAUCUUUGUAUUUGGGGUUUUUUUUUUGGAUACAUUAAAAAAAUCAAAAAUAGCAAAAUUGAUCAAAGAAAAAAAAACAAAGUGACACACAUGCAAAGGUUCUUUUUAUUUUUUUAUUUUUUUUCUCUUUAUUUUUUUUCGAAACUGAUUAUAUAUAUAUAAAGAUUUUUUUUAACUGUAUAUAUAUAUUAAAAUAUAGUAUAACAAAGAAAAAAAAGAAAAAAUUACCUUUUUGGGCUCCUGCCGCCGUGCACGGUGGUCGACAACGACGGACCCCAAGGCGGCGUGAGGCGGUGAUUGGCCGAAAUUUUCAAAAUGGCGUCGUUUUGAGCCUUAACCCGCGAUCCGACUCGCUCCAGGCCUAGGAUCCGUGUGAUUUUAACGGAAGGGCUAAUUCACUUUUAGCCCUUCCGCUUUUUUAUAGUUUUUCAAUUAAGUUUCUUUGAUUUCUAAUUUUGCCCUAGAAUUUUGCUUUGAUUUCAUUUUCGCCCUGUCUAAGGUGCUGCGUUUUGGAGGGCGGGGAUAUUUUCCCCUUUAGUCCCUCCUUGUUAUUCGCUCACUUGAUUUGGUCCUUUUCUCUUUUAUUUAUUUCUGAUUUUCCCCCAGAAUUUUGUUUUAAGGUUCAAUAUAGACCUUUUUUGUUAUUUUUGUUAUUUUUAUUAAUUUAAUGUUAUUAUUAUUUUCUUUUUAUGUUUACUACCUGUUAUUAUUAUUGUAUUAUUAAAUUAAUUAAUUUAGUGUUAUUACUACUAUUAUUAUAGUUCUUUCUUGUAUUUAUUUAUUCUUUUUUUAUAAUACAUUGAUUUUAUUUUGUCAUUUUAUUAUUUAUUUAUUUAUACCUUUAUAUAAUUCCAAGCUUUGAAUUCUUUAUUAUUUUGUAUCAUUAUUUUGUUUUACAUAAUACUUAUAUUAUUAUUAUUAUUAUUAUUAUUAUUAUUAUUAUUAUUAUUAUAUGUUUAUCAUUUUUUUACUUAAAUCUCAUAUUUGUUUAUACUUGAUUUUUCAUUCCUUUACUUUCAAAAUAUUUAAAUUGAGCUAUGUAUAUACACUGUAUUUAUUUACUUACUACCAUUUUUUUAUUUUGUUUUAUUUAAUUUUUUUCUUUUAUUUAUUUGCUUACUUUCAUUUUUUUAUUUAAACUUUUUAUUAUUUUUACUUGUUUUUUUACUUAUUUUUUGUUUUAUAAUUAGCUUGUUUUUGUUCAUUUAUCUUAUUUUUGCUCGUAUUAUCGUCAAUUUUAUUAAUGCAUUUAUUGUUAUUAUGUUAUGCAUAUUAACGUCGAAAUUUAUUUCACUAUCAAUUCGUGUUACAUUAAUCUUUACCCGAAGCAUUAAAUUUUUUAUUUUAAAAUAAGCAAUAUUUCACGUUUUUAUUUCGAAAAGUCAUACUCUAACUUACGGAAUUUCGAUUUUCUCGACAAAUCUAAAUAAGCGAGCUUUUUUUUCUUAUUAUUGUCGUAAUCUCGGGAAUUAAGAGAAGGUCGUAUUCUAACUCACGGAAUACGAUUUUUCUUUCUAAAACCGAGAUAGUUGAAUACCUUCUAAAAUAGAUUUUUUGGCGUUUAUUCGCGUAACGGGAAUUUAAGACAUUGUAUUCUAACUUACGGGACGUAAUUCUUUUUUUGGUUAACGUGAAAUCUGUCAUUUUCUCGAAAUUUUCAAUUAAAUAAUAUUUUAUAAAGGAUCGUGUUUUAAAAUCUCUUCAAAUUUUUUAUGUUCGGCACUAAGACAUUAAUUAAUCAACUAGGUACCCAUUUUGGGCGUUACGAGGGUGCUAAUCCUUCCUCGUACGUAACCGACUCCUGAACCCGUCUUUCUGAAUUUCAUGGACCAAAAUCUUUGUUUUAAUAAAUCGAAUUGUUUAUUAAAAACAAUCUUUUUCGAGGUGACCUGAUCCCGUCUCAUCAAAAAAGAUUGGUGGCGACUCCCAUUUUCGUUUUCAAAAUAUCAGACGAUUUCAAAAUGGUUUCGACAACUAGUUAUUGUGAUGAUAUUUUAAAGAUUAUAUAGCCUAUCUAUAUAAGACAAUCUAUGGCUAGUGAAGAUUUGGUCGGAUUCAACUAAAUCAUUUACAAAUGAAUAUCAUAUAUAUUAUAUAUCAUACAGAGAUAUUAAAAUGAUGUUAAUAAAUAAAUUGAUAUACUUUUAUUUUAAAUUUUUUUAUCACUGAAUUUAAAGGUUUUGUUAAAAUGCAUUUUUACUAUUAAUCAAAUAUUUUAUAAUGAUAAUUUAAGAUUAAAUGACUUCUUUUUCAAUUAUUUCAUUGAAAAUGUUGGACUCUCGUAUUGUUUUAGAUGGAAAAAAUUUUAAAUUAAAAAAAAAAAUCAAAAUGCAUCGUUUUAAAAUGUUAAUGAUUAUAGCUAUUUUAUAUGGGAAAAAAAUUUCAAAAUUAUUGAAUGAAAAAAAAAUUCAAAAUUUUCAAAUGAUUUUAUACAUCACGUGACAUGUUGCCAUAUAAAGAAAAAUAUUUAUAUAGGAAGGAAAAGAAAAAGGAUAGAGCAACAGGAUAUUCAAAAUUACAAAAUUUAUGCUUAACCACAAAUUUAUACCUAAAUUAAAAUAUUUUUUCCAUCUUGGUACUUCAAAUUUUUUUUGUCAUAAGUGGUACCUAGACCUUUUUUUUUUCAAAUUGGUACCUAUGUUAGUCAAACCGUUAAGCCUAUUUUUUUAAAAAAAAAGUUGACUCAUAAAUUGGUACCUAAAAUAUGCAUUUCCCCAUUUGGUACCUAAAGUUUUGUUAGGUUACAAGUAGUACCUAAACUAUUUUCUUCCCCAAAUUGGUAUCUCUUGUAGUUCAAUCAUCAAUCAAGUCGUUAAGUUUAUUUUGUUUAAUAAAAUAACCAAUAUAAAAAUUGACAUAUGGCAAAAAAGACAAAAAGUAUUAUUUUCUCUUAUAUAUAUAUAUAUAUUCUUUAAACCGCGACCAAUGGUUGAACCAAUCAAACCACCAAUUAUUGGUUUGAUCAGUUCGUCCAAUUUGAUAUUAAAAUUUUAUAAAAAUAAAAUAUUUUAAAAAUAGAGAAAACUAAUUCAAAUGAUUUCUUUAGCUUGGUCCAAUAGGUUUGUAUCAGUUUGCAGGUCAAUCAGUCAACCCCUAUAUCUAGACUAGUAUCCCAACCAAUUCUCAGUUCAAUCGAUCAAUCUAGUCCAAUUUUGAAAAUAUUGGAUUUGAUCGAUGAAAUAACUUUUUCGAUCUCAUCAAGUCAAAUAAGCAAGCGGUGAAAUUCAAAAAUAUAAUUAAUUACCAGCAUUUCAAUUUUUGGAGAGCAAAUUUUGAGCAUUACUAAUAUUGUCGUAUGUUAUAAAAGAAGAAAAAUAAUAAUAAAAAGAGAGACAAAACUGUAAAAGGAAAAAGGAAAACAAAAUAAUUAAAAAUUGUUAAGUUAUAUGACAUGGCAAAUUAUUAUUAGUUGAAAUUUUUUUGAAUGGAUAUAACAUGUUUGUGUAAACUGGAUAAAAGAAUAAUAGUUUAAGUAUCACUUGUGAGUAAAAAAUUGUUUAGGUACCAAAAUAAUAAUAAUAAAUGCAUAGUUUAAGUACCAACUUAUAAGUUAAGCCUUGUUUAAAAAUAGAUUUAACAGUUAGACUAACAAAGGUAUCAACUUGAAAAAGAAAAUAGUUUAAGUACCACUUAUAACAAAAAAAAAUUAUGUACCAAUAUAAGAAAAUUUAGGUACUAAUAUAGGGGGAAAAAGGGUAUAAUUUAACUAUCAAUUUGUGAGUUAAACCUAAAAAUUAUGUUGAAAUUUGUGAAAAGUAAUAAAGUAAUAAAGUAAUAAGUUUGGCAAUGGAGGUUGAGUUAGGUUCACUGGGAAGCAAGACAUAAUAAAUAUUGGUAUAAUGUUAAAUUUAGUCUUUAAUAUUUAUAUUUUUUGUUAAUUUAGCCUUUAUUUUUUUUUAAGCUAAAUUUGACCCACAACAUUUUAAAAAGAGUCUAAUUAUUAUUUUUUAACAAAAAUACUGGUUAAAACAUUCAAUUUUAAAACAUUGCAACUUGCAUAACAAUCCACAUGUAUCUAUAUUGACGUGGCAUAUAAGACAAAUAGUGACAUGUCAACAUAAAGUAUACGUGGACUACCACGUGUCUUGGCAUGUCAACAUCGCUAAAAAAUUAGUUUUUUUACUUAACAAUUCUGUUUUUUUCAAAAAAAAAAAAAGAAGAAGAGCAAUUUGACUAUUUUUGAAAGAUUCAUGGUCAACUUUAGUUCAAAAAAAAAGAAUAAAAGUCAAAUUGACCAUAGAUGGAAACGUUAAGAGCUCAAUUUGACAUUAUCCCAUAAAUAUUUCUUUGCAUGAGAGAAAAAAAAAAUCAGAUUUUAUUUUAAAACAAAUAUCUACAUGAAUUACAUGAUAGAGGUAUAUUAAAUAUGGGAUGAGUUGUAUUUAAUUAAAAAGAUAUCUUACCUGUUAUAUUGGUUACAAUAAAAUUUUAAUCUAAAUUUCACUAAAAAUUCACUAGUUUAAUCUAUUAAUUUUCCCUUUUGGAAAAAUAAGAAUAUUAACAGUGGGACUUAGUCCAUAGACUUGGUUAAGUUGACCUGCUUCUAAACUUUAUGUUUUGUUCAUACAGGAAUAUUAAGAUAAAUUGAUUUAUUUUCAAUAAAAGUUUAAGUAGUCUUCGUUUUCAACAUUUUGCUUUGCUUAGUCAAAUUCCGCGUUUUCCAUUUUCUUUUCCUUCUCUUUUUUCUCCUUUAGCUUUUAAGACCUAAAAAGUCUUAAAGAAUGUGGGAGUGGGGCUUUCUUCAUCGAAUUUUGUUUGACUCAACUUUAUAACAUUUUAUGGAAAAUUAAAUUUCCAACAGGCUAUUAUCAAUUUAACGCAUUUUGUUGGAAGAAACUUCCUUGCGCUUCAUGUAUUUUUGUGUUUUAGCUAAAGCUUACUCUAUAUAUUUGGAGUUGUGAGCCAUGGCAAUAGCAACCAUGACUACUCCUCUUCCUAUCUCCUUAUUCCCUUUUCUUCUUCUCAUUUCCGCUCUCUGUUUUUCCAUUUGUCAUGCCAAUUCCAACCUACUUUGCAUUCAAAGUGAGAGAGAAGCACUUUUGAAAUUCAAGAAUCAUCUUAUUGAUCAUUCAAACAGGUUAUCUUCAUGGGUUGAAGGAGGGGAUUGCUGUAAAUGGAUUGGUGUCAUCUGCCAUAACUCAACAGGCUACGUCAACCAACUGCAUUUGGCUGCUCCUCUUUCACAGCCUGAUUUUGACGCACCACUAGCUGAAUGGGAAGCUUACGUGCGGUCAAAACUACGAGGCAAAAUAAAUCCUUCACUGCUGGAGUUAAAGCAUCUCAGUUCCCUGGACUUGAGCAAUAACGAUUUUAGCAGCAUACAUAUCCCGAAAAUUUUCAGUUUGCUGGAGAGUUUAACAUAUCUUAACCUCUCUGAUGCACUAUUUCAGGGAGCAAUUCCUCAUAACCUUGGGAAUCUCUCAAAGUUGCAGUAUCUUGAUCUUGGAGGUAAUGAUCUCAAAUCAAAAAGUCUUCAAUGGGUUUCUGGACUUUCUUCUUUGCAGUACCUUGAUUUGAGCUAUGCGGAUCUUCAUAAAGCAACUGAUUGGGUAGAGGUAACAUUCAAACUUCCUUCUUUGUUAGAGUUGCACUUGUCAGAAUGUGGUUUAGACAAUGAUCCAUCUCCGACCAGUCUUAAUUCUACAAAAUCACUGGUUGUUCUUGAUCUUUCUUGGAACCGCUUUUCUUCAGUACCUAAGUCGAUAUUUAGUCUUCAUGGUCUUGUGUCCAUUGAUCUUAGUCACAAUUCUUUGGAAGGCUCAAUUCCAGAUUACUUUGGGAACAUCUCGUUUCUUGAAGUUCUUGAUCUUAGUGGGAAUCAUCUCAAUUCAUCCAUACCCAAUUCCUUGUAUAGUUUAAACCGUCUUCAGUUCCUUUGUCUUAAUGAUACCCAGUUACAAGGAACAAUCUCGAGUGCCAUUGGAAACUUGAGCUCUGUUACUCACCUUUAUCUUUCAGAAAAUCAAUUAAAUGGUCAAAUUCCAUUGUCUAUAGGGGAGUUAUCAUCUCUGAAGUUGUUUGAUGUUUCAAAAAAUCAGUUAAACGGCCAAAUUCCCUUGUCUAUAGGGCAGUUAUCAUCUUUGGAGUUUUUUUAUGUUUCAGAAAAUCAAUUAAAUGGUCAAAUUCCGUUGUCUAUAAGGGAGUUAUCAUCUUUGAAGUUGUUUGAUGUUUCAGAAAAUCAAUUAAAUGGUACUUUUCCUCUAUCUUUUGGACGACUAGAAAGUUUGGAAACUUUGGAUUGUGGGUAUAAUCUAUUACAAGGAGUAGUAUCAGAAACCCAUUUUUCUGAUCUCACGAGAUUGACAACUCUAGCAGCAUCACAAAAUCGGCUUAGAUUUGAACCAAACUCAAGCUGGAUUCCCCCAUUUCAAUGUGAAAGGAUCGAAUUGGGUCACUGGCAUCUUGGCCCAAAGUUUCCCCAGUGGCUAAAAUUCCAAAAGAAAUUGUCUUAUUUGGAUAUCUCCUAUGCAGGAAUUUCAGAUGUCAUGCCAACUUGGUUUUUGAACCUUCCCACUCAAUUUGAAUAUUUAAAUCUUUCCUCUAAUCAACUUACAGGAGAGAUUUCAUAUUUGAAUGUGACAGACAUUGUUGACUUGAGAUCAAACCGAUUCAUAGGUCCAUUGGCAAGAGUAUUCUCAACUUUAACAAUUUUAUAUAUGUCAAAUAAUUCAUUUUCAGGAUCUCUUUCUCAAUUAAUUUGUGAUCCAUCAAGUGGGAAACUUAUGGGAGUUCUUUACAUUGAUAAAAAUCUUAUCUCAGGAGAUAUUCCAGAUUGUUGGAAUCAUUGGCAGCGUUUGGACAUUCUAAAUUUGGGAAGCAACAAUUUAACCGGAAAAAUCCCACCUUCUUUAGGGCAUAUAAAUCUUUCAAUGCUAAUCCUUCGAAACAAUACAAUGUUUGGAGAAUUGCCAUCCACAUUGCAAAAUUCUACAAAUUUGAUUAUGUUUGAUCUUAGUGAAAAUCAUUUCAGUGGAAGUGUACCAGCAUAGAUUGGUGAUAAGCUCUCAAACCUUGUGAUUCUAAGCCUUCGAUCAAAUAACUUUGAUGGUCAUAUUCCUCAUAAAAUUUGUGAUCUUCAAUCUCUUCAAAACUUGGACCUUGCCUACAACAACAUUUCUGGAGUUAUUCCAAAAUGUUUUAAUAAUUUAAGUGCAAUGGCCACAACAAAGAAAAUCUUUAAUUCUGUUUUUUUGAAGUAUGCAGUUGAUGACUCUUUUUUUUUAAAGCAUUAUUGGUGUUGAAAGGACGAGAGGAUGAAUAUGGUAGCACACUAGGACUUGUUACCAGCAUGGACCUUUCAGCAAACAGUUUCACAGGAGAGAUCCUCAAAGAAAUUGGUAGUCUCGUUGGACUAUUGUCUUUAAAUUUUUCAGGGAAUCUCCUAAUAGGAAAUAUACCAGAAAGCAUUGGCAACAUGGAGUUAAUGGAAUCUCUUGAUUUGUCCAUGAAUCGACUAAAUGGUAAAAUCCCUCCAAGUUUCUCCAAUUUGAAUUUCUUGAAUCACUUCAAUGUGUCCUACAACAACUUGACAGGACAAAUCCCAACAAGCACUCAGCUUCAAAGCUUUGACAACUUGUCUUACGUGGGCAAUCAUCUUUGCGGACCUCCUCUCACAAAGAAUUGCACCUCAAAAGGUAUUCCAACUGACAUUGCAAAUAAUGGAAGUAGCAGUGAAGGAAGUAAGGUGAAUUCGCUUUAUGUCAGCAUAGCUCUUGGCUUUGUAAUGGGUUUUUGGGGUUUAGUGGCUCCCUUAUUUUUCAUCAAGUCUUGGAGGAUUGCAUAUUAUCGAAAGCUGGACCAUAUCUGUAGUAAAAUGUAUGUGUUUUGGGCUACUAUGGGUAUGUAGUUUGAUAGGAAAAAAGCAUAUAUAAUUGAUACAUCUGAUCUAGGUGUGCUGCUACAUGAUUGUUUGAUGCUAAAAGAUUAGUUUUUGUGUCUUUCCACUCGCUUGGUGUGCUAAUAAGGUGGCCCACUCGUUGGCAUGAACAGCUCUGUUAUAUGCAAACCACGUGGAAUGGGAUUUUGAUUUUUUUUUCCCUUACAUCUUUUUUGAAGAAUGUUGAAAUUAUGUAUUAUGUUGAUACGAAUGCAGAUUAUGGACGUUAGGUUUGGGUGUAUGGGGUGAGCCUGUUGGCUCGGGUUUAGUAGUCCGUCUCCCCUUUGUGUUCACUUUUGUUUCUUUAUUUUUUCAUGAAUGAAUUUCUUCUCUAAAAAAAUAGUAAUUUUAGACACGUAUAAAAGUAUAAGUGUGAACUACAUCCAAUGUCACUCUAAAAUAAAGUUUGUCCUAUUUUGGUCGCUCUAGCUAAAUUUUUUCUCAAUUUAGUCACUCUAAUUAAUGUUAUUAUUUGAACUAGUCAAUGUCGUACAAAAUUCUGUUAAUCCAUUAAUGGGUUGUUAUUGUGGCACAUUAGCCAAUUGAAUUAUGAUAAAUGGCAACAGGGGCGAUGUAAUACUCCAAAAAUUACUAUAGUAAGAUAUUAUCUUUGAUAUAAAAAAAUAAGGAAAUAAGUGAUAAAAAGGGAAGUAAACUAUGAUAUCUUGAUUCAGGAAAGGACUAAAUUGUAAAAGUGAGAAAAGUUUUGUUGUACAAGAGUAAAUACUUAAAACUUGAUGGGUUAAAGUGUGAAUAUGAAGAAGUUUAAGGACCAAUAGUGCAAAUAUUUUAAGGGUGGAAUGAUCUAGAAAUUAAGGAAAAUUGAUGAAUUAGGACCAAAUUGAAUAGGUGAAAAUUAUGAGGGACUAAAUCACAAUUUUACCAAAUUAAGUGAUGCCUCAAAGAUGGAAUUCUAAAAGAUCAUGAAGGGCAAAAUGAUCAAUUAGUAAGAAAGAGAAUUCUAGAAUGUAAUGAUUAUGUUGAUGAUAUUUUAAAUUAAUUAAUUAGAUAAAUAUUAUUUUAUUAAUAUUUUUAUGAGAUAUUUAUUAUUAUUUAUUAUUAUUUAUCUAGUAUAUAAGGAAGGAAAGAUGAAGAAUUAUCAUCAUCUUUCCUUUCCCAUGCAAACCAACGUGAGAGAAGAAGAAGAAAAGAAAGUUUUCUUUUUUUUACAAUUUGGUCCUUCUAUAAAAAAUUUACCAUUUUCACCUAGAAAUCAAAAGAAUUUCCAUAGCUACCAAGAGAGAAAAAUGUUAAUGAGACUAUGGGGAGUUAGAAUAUCAAAUUGGAUUCAAGGAAUAGAAGCUGGAGGAGAGAGAAAAUCAAAUUAAAGAUGGGAAUCAAUAGAACAAGAUAAGUACAUCAAGGUUUUAAUAUAUUUUUAAGUUUGAUAUUAUUGAAAAAGUAUGGGAUUAAUGUUAAUGUAGAGCUUCCUUACAUAUGGUCCUAUGUUCUUGAUAUGUUAGUGAAGAGAAAACAAGAGAAAGUGAUGAGAAAUAAUGUAGAGAAAGAAAAUAAGGGUGUUAUAAACAUGGUAAAUAAUAUUUAGCACUAAAAUAGUUUUGGACAACAGCAGUGGUCUAAAUUUGAAAAAUCACCAUAAAUUGUAGAAAUCGAAUUAGAAGAUGAACAAAAUAUGAAAUUAAAUUUUAUUGAGUCUAGUUUCUCAUAGAGGAAACAGUGCAAGCAAUGGAUUUGUAAAUCAUGAGAUAUAAUGAAUUUUAUGAGACAAGGUCAGAAUGAAUUCGGGUUCCCCUGUUUUGAAUUUAGAAAAUCAUAAAAAAUUAGAUAAAAAUAAUUAUAGUCUUAAAUUUAUAUUUUUAGAAUUCUGAAUGAGUCUUUUUCAAUAGAAACAAACAGAAAUAUCAUUCAAAUUCUGUACGAGGAGAUAAGUAAUUUUUAGUGAACAAGGGUCAGAAUUGUCAGACAGCAGAACGGGGGUAAAUUUAAAGAAUAAACUGUACUUAUUGGCUAAACCAAAAAUUCUGAAAAUUUUAUGGUAAGAAUAUAUAUGAGUCUAUUUUCAGGUAAAAUUAUCAGAUAUUAUUUUGGAGUUCUAUAGCUCUAGAUAUAAAUAAUUUAGUGACUAUGACACAGAUGGACAGCUUGAAUAUUCAUAAAAGUAAAUAAUAAAAAUUAUAGAUGAUGUUACUUACAAGUGUGUUAUAUACUUUAAGGAUGUGGAAUAGAGAGGAGGAGGAGGAAAAUAUAUAUGAAUAUUCAGCUAGCAUGGCUAAUUUGCAUGUUUUAGGCUCAAGGACUAAAUUGAAUAAAAGUAAAACUUUAGGGGGUAAUUUUGUAAAAAUGUAAAAAUGGCCAAAUUGAAGGGAAUGAAUUGUUUUAUUAUCUAAAUUAAUAAAUUGAAUAAAAUUAUUAAGUUAAGAUCGGGUGAAAAUUGAGAAAAUGAUAAAUUACCAAAAUGCCCCUAAAUCUUAGUAUUUCUGCAAUUUAGUCAGGUAGGUUCGUAUAACUUGAAUGAGCAUAUAAAUAUGUCAAUUUAAAUAUUAUAUUGUAUUUUAUAUGAUGUUUGAAUUGAAUAUAUGAAAUGUAUGGAUGUUGAAAUGAAAGAAAUAAUACAUGUUCUGAAACUAUUGAAAGGGAUAAAAUUUGUUUGAAUAUUGGGUUUCGGAUGGAUAUAGGUGAUUUCCCAAAUGCAAGAGUUCCUGCAUGUGUUGCAGAAAUAGAUAACCCAGACGGUUAAUCUGAAAAAAGCCUUCUCGAAAAUAUAAAGUGGAUAGGAUUCGUUCAUGAUUCACUAUAAUACCUCAAAGUGGUUAGGUUUUGUUCCUGAUUCACAAUGGUAAUAAAAAGUGAAUAGGAUUUAUUCCUGAUUCACUAUGGUAACUUAAGGUAGAUAGGAUUUGACCUGAAAAGGUAAUUCUGAUUCGCUACAGUUACAUGAUAUAUGAUUCAUUAGGGUAACCUAAGGUGGAUAGGAUUUGACCUGAAAAGGUAAUCCUGAUUCACUACAGUUACAUGAGAUGUGACUCGAGAGAGUGCUUGAUGAUUAAACGUCCUAAGAGUUAUUUCUGAAUAUGAAUUGAUGGAAUAUGGAAAUGUACGCUUUGAGUGUACUGUUGAAAAAUCCAUCGGAACUCCAAUGAUUCAACGGAUAGAAUAUUUGGUAUGAUACAAGAAUUAUAAUAUAAAAAGGAUGUUACAUGAAACAUGAAAAUGAAUGCUAAACGAUAUAAAUUAAUUGAAAUUAUUUUGAAAUUUUCGGAAAUGCCUCAUAUCCUAUACCGGUCUCGAGUACGGGUAUGGGGUGUUACAGGUGGUGCCAGGGGUUGGCAAUGGCCCCACCUCCCUAAAAUGAAUUUUUUUUUAUUUAGGUCUGUUUAUAGUUUAUAAUAUUUUAAAUUAGUAAUGGUAAAUUUGCACUUUGGUACUUCAAAAAAUGAUAAAAAUUUGAUUUAAUUGGUCAUAUAGGUCGAUUUUUAAAAUUUUAGGGAAAUAGGUUGUUUUUGGAAAGAGUGUGUGAAAGUGCGACCAGCUGGGCACGCUUUCUACACAGGUGGUAAGAAACCUCGCUUAGCUGACGAGCUUUCACAUGCUCUCUCCAAAAACGGUUUAUUUCUCUAAAUUAAAAAAAUGGCCUAUUUAGUCAAUUAACAAAUUUUUUUGGCAUAUAUGGCUAAUUUAGCCUACAAUUAAGUAUUUAAUUUAUUUUCACAUUAUAUAUUAUUAAAACAUGAUGUAAAAAGAUAAUUAUAAGAGAGAGAGAAUGAAAGGAUGAAUGAUAGAUUUAAAAAUUAAGUUCUACAUGUGUGUAUAUAUGUAUGUAUAUUAUCACUAUUUCAUAUAUAGAUAUGUAUAUGGCCACAAGAUAAUGAUUUAUACUAUAAUAACAUGUCUGAUUAAGUUUAGUGUCAUAAGUUAAGUAACACCACUCAAUUGGUAAAAGCACAGAAAAGUUAAAGUUAUUUUUUUUUAAUAUAGAGUUAAUUAUAUCAUUUCAAUGUUUUAUAAAAUAAAUUAAAUUUAUUUAAUUAGUUCUCUUAAACCAACUGCUUAAAAAAUUAUUUUUCUCAAUUAAAACUAUUUGCUAAGGCAAGUUGCGUGCUUCCGAGAUGAGUGACACUCAUACUUGUCAUAUUUAAGUUGACAAAUUUAUACAACAGAAUCUUUUGACUAGUUAUUAUGUUGAUGUUUUGAAAAUUCUAUAAUCAUUUGAUUGGAUUCAACUAAAUCAUGUAGAAAUGAAUAUCAUACAGAUAUACUAAAAUGAUGUUAAUAAAUAAAUUGAUAUACUAUAUAAUAUUAAAUUAAUUUUUUUAGUAAAAAAUUAUAGCGUAGGAACGUCGAGUAACGUAGAGCAAUAAUGAAUGUAAUCAAUAUUCAUAAAGCCAAUGUAAAACAACAUUAUUUUAUUUUAAAAUUUUUUAUCGCUGAUUUUAAAGGUUUUUGUUAAAAUACAUUUUUACUAUUAAUCAAAUAUUUUAUAGUGAUAAUUUAAGAUUAAAUGACAUUUUUUCAAUUAUUUUCAUUGAAAAUGUUGGACUUUUAUGUUGUUUUAGAUGGAAUUUUUUCUUAAUUAAAAAAAAAUCAAAUUGCAUCAUUUUAAAAUGUUAAUGUUUGUUUAGGAAAAAUAUUUUUUGGAAUUAUUGAAUGAAAAAAUAAUUUCAAAUUUGUCAAAUGAUUUUAUAAAUCUCAUGACAUGUUUUCACAAAGAAAAAUAAAUUUGAAUUUAUAUAGGAAGGAAAAGAAAAAGGAUAGAGCAAGAGGAUAUUCGAUUAUAAAAUUUAGGCUUAACUCAAAAAUAGAUAUCUAAAUUAAAAAAAAUUAACUUGGUAUUUAAAAUUUUGUUUUGUCACAAGUGAUAUCAAAAUUUUGCAAGUCAAUCGAUCAACCCCUAUCUCUAAACCAGUACCCCAAUCAAUUCUCAGUCUAACCGGUCAAUCCAGUCCAAUUUUGAAAACAUUGGAUUUGGUCAAUGAAAUAACUUUUUCGAUCUCGUCAAGUCGAACAAGCAAGCGGUGAAAUUCGAAAAUAUAAUCAAUUGUCAACAUCUCAACUUUGAGAGAGCGAAUUUCAAGUAUCGCUAGUAUUGUCAUAUAUUAUAAAAGAAGAAGAAAAAAUAAAAAGAAUGACAAAAAAAAAUAAAAAGAGAGAGAAAAUUAUAAAAGGAAAAAGGAAAAAAUUUAAAAAAAAUUUAAGUUAUAUGACAUGGCAGAUUAUUAUUAGCUGGAAUUUUUUUAAAUGGGUAUAACAUUUUGGUGUAAAAAAUAUUUAAGUACCAAAAUAAAUAAAAUGCAUAGUUUGUGUACCAACUUAUUAGCUAAGCCUUGUUUAAAAAUAUAUUUAUCAGUUAGACAAACACAGGUACCAACUUGGAAAAAAAAUGUAGUUUAAGUACCAAAAUAGGAAAAAAUGAUAUAAUUUAAGUAUCAAUUUGUGAAUUAAGUCUAAAAUUUAUAUUGAAAUUUGUGAAAAUUAAUAAAGUGAGUUUAGAUAGAGAAUGGAUGUUGAGUUAGGUUCAUUGGGAAGCAAGACAUAAUAAAUAUUGGUAUAAUAUCAAAAUUAACUUUUAAUAUUUAUAUUUUUGUCAAUUUAUCCCUUAUUCUUUUUUUGAGCUGAAUUUGACGUACAACAUUUUAAAAAGAGUCUAAUUAUUUUUUUUAACGGAAAUAUUGACUAAAGCAUUCAAGUUUUAAAACAUUCCACAUGUAUCUAUAUUAACGUGGCAUAUAAGACAAAUAGUGUCAUGUCAGCAUAAAGUAUAUGUAGACUGUCACACGUCCUAGCAUGCCAACAUUGCUAAAAUAUUAGUUUUUUUAGUCAACAAUUUUUUUUAAAGUAUUUUGGUUCUUUUUGAAAAAUUAACGGUCAAAUUUAACUCAAAAAAAGAAUAAAAAUCAAAUUGAUAAUAGAUGUAAACGUUAAGGGCUCAAUUUGACAUUAUGCCAUAAAUAUUUCUUUACAUGAGAGAAAAUUUUUCAGAUUUUAUUUUAAAACACAAAUAAUUUUACAACUUUUGGUAACUAAAACUUUCUUGAGAAAACUCUACAUGAAACAAUUUGUUGUUUCAAUUUACUAUCAGAACGGAAUGUUCCGAUCAGUACAUGGUACCAAAACAACAUCAAGUACUAUAGAUUGAAGUUCUAUAUUGACACUUUAUGAUUUAGUUUUUAAAUCCGAUAAUAAUAAUCCUCUCCCCUAACUAAAACAACCUUUUCAAAUAAUUAAAAAAUAAUUUUUAACCUCCCCUCGCGGAAAUAGAAUACAUUUUAUUGUCAAUCAUUUAUCUUUUCAGAAAGCAUCCACAGUUAGAAGAUUAAUCACUAUUACUGAUGAUGGAUACCGAAAAAAAUAAUUUUUAAUCCCGCUCACAAAAAUGGAACACAUUUUAUUGUCACUCAUUUAACUUUUUGGUAAGUAUCCACGGUUAGAAAAUUAACCACUGCUAUCAAUGAUGAAUACCCUGAUUACAACAAGAAAAAUAAUUUUUGAGAUUGAGAAAAACAUAUUUAGGUUGAAAUUUUAAAAGUAAUAUUUUAAUUUUUAAAAAAUAUUUCAUUCACAUAUAAAAAUUAGAAAAUUUCAAACCUUAGAGCUAAGCCAAAAUUCUCCAAUGUCUUAAGAACCUUAAGUAGUAAUCGAAAAAAAUAAGAACCUCGUGUUGAGAUAUUUAUGAAUAUUUAAAGAGUAGUGCCGGCCAAUUAACUUCCAAGUCAUUAAAAAGAAACUUCAGUCCUCCAUUCACAAUUAAACCCUUGUCUACAUUUUCAUCUAUAUCAGUGAGGGGCUUGCAUUGAUAAUAGUAAAAUUAUAUUUUGACCCUCUUAAAAAUAAUAAUAAUUUAAUUUAAUCUUUUAAAAAUUAUAAACAUAUAGACUAUUAAAAUAGUGAAUUAUACUUCUAUUAUCGUAAAAACAUAUAAUUUAAUUUCAACCUCCCAAAAUAAAAUUCUGACUCCGGUUCCUGGUACAUAUGAUUUAUAAAAAUAAAAUAAGACAGAAAAUUCAUGCUUUCACUGAACUAUUUUAUUAAAAAAAGAAGAAGCUAGUUUUAAAAUUCAGCACAAUUCUAUUUAAAGCCUUACGGUGUGCAACAAAGCACAAAACCGACUGUUUUUCCUUUAUUUUGAAGUGCCAAAACCCAAUUUUAUAGAUGGAAAAACAGAUGGUACUUGCAUUGGCAAUGAUAUUUUGCCUCGCCAUACCACCAGUCUAUGGCCAAUACUACUCCAAAACUAUUAAGGUAGGUGGUCGGGUGGAAAAGAAGACGCGACUCCGCUUCUUCUACCACGAUAUUCCCAGUGGCAAAAAUCCUACUACAGUCCUGUUAGCUCAGGCCAACAUCACCCAGGAUUUCUUUUCCCCAUCCCCAUACAGCAGCUUGUAUGCAAUGGAUGAUCCCCUCACUAUAGGGCCUGAACGAACAUCCACCACCAUCGGAAAUGCCCAAGGGCUCUACAUAGCAUUAAGUCGAGAUCCUAACAAGUUCACUGCAGUUUUAUACGCGGAUUUUGCUUUUACCACCGGCAGGUUCAAUGGAAGCUCCUUCAGUUUGUUCUCACGAUAUCCCCCCACUGAUUUUGUUCCUAGCCCCGACACAAUUUGUGAAAUGGCGAUAGUGGGAGGAAGAGGUGCGUUUAAGAUGGCCAAAGGGUUUGCCCUAUUACGGGCCACUUCUUCCAACGCCAAGACUGGAGAUGCUAGUCUCGAGGUCAAUGUUACCUUGUACCAUUACUAAACUCAAUUGCAGAAUAUUUAAUUUCAUAUUAAGAUCAAUAAGAGAGUAUAUUCCUAAUUCCCAAACCAAUUAGGAAUGCCACAAUAUUUGUUAAAAAAUGGGUAUCAUUUUGGUCAUGUGUUAUCCUUCACUUUACAGUGUAAUUUUUUUUUAUUUGAAUAAUAGUUGAUAUUCAUUAGAAAAUAUAAUGGGGGACAACCACUCUGCAACGGGACUAAAUCGUUUCCUCCAGUCAUAAAUGAGCACAUAGACCAACAAAACAACAAACCAAAACACAACAAAAAGUAAAUGAGAAAACAAAAGAAAUUAAAAGUAACCACCCAUCUAAUCUGUAGAGUGUAGAGACCCCGUCCCCAAACUGAAGCCUAACGAUGAAAACCAGAAGCUAAACCGUCUCCUGCAACCACAAACCCAUCAAAGAAUAUUCUCCAAAACUCAAAGAAUGCAUUCGCUGGAACCCAUUUCUGCCAAUCUUGGUUCGCUACAAGUUCAACCUCCCCAGGAGCUUCCUCAAUCCAAAAUCUAGGUUCCGAGGGCCAAAGCCGUCAUCUUGCUAAAAUAUUAGCCGUCAAUGACGAAUCUAGAAGGGCUGUCCCCUAAAAUAUAAAAUUAUUAUUUAAAUUUUUAAAUUUUAAAAAAAAAUUAAAUUAAUAAAAUUAAAAUUAUACUUUAAUCCCCUAAAAUUAUAAAAAUUUAAUUUAAUUCUUUAAAAAUUAUAAAAAUAUAAACUAUAAAAAUUUAAAAUUUCAUUCUAGCUUUAUCCCUAAAAGACUAUUCUAGCUUCACCCCUGUUAGCUAAGUUAUUUGCCAAUCUUCCGACAUAGGCAAAAGUAAUAUAAUCAAACCUUCUCACCUUCCUUUUGAAAUCUUAAAAAAUCGGGCCCAACACUAAAUUUGUUUGGAUUCGCAUUAUGUAACUUCUUUGUGAUAGUGUAGUUUUAAUUUUAUAUUUAAAAAUUAAUAUUUUAAGUUUAUGAGAAUAUGUUAUUCAAAUAUAAAUAAUAAAAUUUCUAACAUCAGACCUAAGCCAAAUUUCUCAGCAUUAAAUAAACCUGAACUAACUUGGUAACCAUAAGUUAAAUUAGUAUUUUUUUUUAGGUACUUAACUUACACCUUUAAAAUAUAUUGACGUAGCAUUCGAAUAACAUGAUAUCACAUAACGGCCUCACUUUUUACAAUAUGGCAAAACUAAGAAUAAAAAGUCGAAAUUUUAUUUAAAAUUUUUAUCACGUGUCAUCAUACUAUUAAUCAUAAAGUGCCACGUCAACUUUGUUUCAUUCUUAAUUUAAUUUUUAUAAUAAAAUCAUAUUAUUUUUACACAAGUAAAAGAAUAAAAUAAUUCGCUAGUAUGAAUAAAUUUCCUUUUUAUAUACAACACAACAUAAACAUGUUUAACAAAUAUAUAUAUAUAUAUAUAAAUAUUUUUUUAAAAAACAACUUAAACAUGUAAGUAAAUAUAUAUUUAAAAAACAACUUAAACAUGUUGAACUAAACAUAUAAUUACUUCCUAUUAAUGAAAUAUUAAAAAAUAUUGCCGUCCAAAUAUAUUAAACAUAUAUUAAAAUUAAACAUGUUGAACUAAACACCUAUUCAUCUGCAAUUGCGUGCAAUUUAAUUUGCUUUUUAUUUUUAUUCUGCAUAUUUCCUUAUUAUAAAUUAUUAUUAUAACAUUUAUGCAACUAACAUCAGCAUAGUAUGGGUUGAUGAUGUGAUAUAUUAACUCAUAUAUUAUUAAAACUUAUGGUUAGAAAUACAUUAUUUACAUGAGAGACCAAAUAAAUUAAAUGGAAAAUUAAAAUAUUUUUUAAAAUUAAAAGAUUAAAUAAAUUAUUAUAUUUAAUAAUAAAUAUAUUUACAUGAGAGAGAAUUAUCAAGAAAUAUUUUCAAAUUUUAUUUCAAAAUAUUUAUAGAGUAAAUUUGAGACUUUUUAAAUAUCCAAGGCUCAAUUAAUUAUGAACAUUUUGAGUAAAAAUCAUUUUCCUUCUAAAGUAUGUUAGCUUGAAAUGUUCAAAAGUACCCAUUUUGAGCCAUCUCCUCGUUUAUCUCAAUAAGCAUAUGCUUUACGAUAUUGAUAUUAUGCAUUAUAUAUAGAAUAUUCUAAACUAGUGUUUAAAGAUGUUUAUGAGUCCGAUUAGAUCAUAAAUAUGAUAUGAACAUAUUUGAUGCUUGCUGAAAUUUAAUUCUACUCGAAUUAUAUUUUUAAAAUUUUAUUCAAUCUAUCUAUAUUUAUAAAAAUCUAACCCAAACCCCUGCCCUUAUUUUUUUUAAUAUUGAUAGUAUUUUAUUUUAAUAUUUAAAAAAAUUUAUUUAUUAAAAUUUUUACAUAAUCUUACCAUUAUUUUAAUAUUCAUAUUAAAAUAAUAUAAUAUAUCUAAUAUAGAUUUAUUUUUUUAAUGUAUUCUAAAUUAUAUAAUAUAUGAAAAUAACAUAAUAAAAUAUUAUAAAUUUAAAAAAAUAUAUGAAAAUAACAUAAUAAAAUAUUAUAAAUUUAAAAAUAAAUCAGACUAGACUUAAACCUUAAAUGUUCAAACUCAAACUCAAACUCAACCUAUAUUUUAAAUCCAUCUAAAUCUUUUUUUUCAAGCUCAUUUUUCGUGUCUAAUAUUUAUACUCAAAUUUCAAACAGACCUUUAAAACUAAACGAAUUACCUGACCCUAAAUAAGUCUACAAACGUCUUCAAUUUGAAAUUUAAUUUUUAUACCUAAAAAACUAAAAUUUACUUUAUUGUUUUAAAAUUUCUAAAUCCAACUAUUAGCACCAUCAGCCCUCUACAUAAAAAAUUUCAGAUCAAAAUUUAUUGACGUGCUUAUAUAUAGGAUAAUAGGAUAUUGCCCAAGACAUCAUUAUAACAAAUGAACAUAAACCCAGACGAUACAUAGAUUUUAAAAUACAAGAUAUUGCCCAACAAUGUUUUCUCACAAAAGACAAUUCCCCUACUCUUGGCCAUAAAUAAGAAAAAAAGAAAAAAAGCAGUCUCGAUGUGCUCAUACAAAGCUUCAAUUAUCAUUAUUUCUAGAAUUGCAUUCUCAGGUACCUGAUUCUUCCCUGGAUAUGCAAUCGACAAGAAAGAAAAAACCACUUCGGGGUACAAUCGAAUUUAUGCCUACUCAUUGAAACAAACAUCUACGAUAAAAUUGUGGUGUCACUCAAUUGGAACAGCAUAGCUCUAAAAUAUUCAGUCGCGAGUUGCUCCUACUAGUGCAAUGUGCUCGAUUAGGUCAAGUACUCGGUUACUGUAAAGGAAUUUCAAGAAAAAACCAUCAGAUUAGAUAUUAUGUAUUUCAAAGGAGUCAGUGUCUCGGUCAAGUACUUGAUUAAGUACUUCACUGUGGUGUUUGCUUUUGUGUCUGGACGUGAAGCAGGGCAUGCACGCAGUGUGUGCCUGUGUGUGAGUGGAUGUGUCGCGAGCAAGAAAGGGAGUGAGAGAGCUUAAAACACACCUGUAACCCCAUUCAUUGUCAUACCAUGAAACAAGCUUCAUGAAAGAUUUACUUAACCCUAUUCCGGCUUUCGCAUCAAAAAUGCUUGACCUGGGAUGAAAGAACAAGUCCUUUAGAAACUUAAAUGCCAUCAAUCAAUAAAUUGGAGGGAGAAACAAAAAUUCAAAUGUAUAGUUCACUGAAUAGCCAAAUCUAAAUGAAGCAAACUUGGAUGCCAUAAAAAAUACAGCAAUAAUAGAAAAAACCAACUGGAAAUUACAGUAUACCAGCAAGUAUUACUUAAUCGUCAGGUUAAAGAUUCAAAACCAAAUGACCUAAUCUUGAAAAAUGGACAUUAUAGGUAGGACAGGGUCGACAAACACAUGAAGUAUACAACAGACCGCAUCACAGUGAAGGCAUGUCCAAUGGAUGUGUCAUUAAAGAUAGAGAGAGAGAGGAUACCGCGAAUCACCAACAAAAUCAUUAGAGACAACAUCUUCAUCUGUGUAUCCAAGAAUGCCUUUAAGUGGCCCCUCUGCAGCAUACCUUCAUUUGAAAAUUAAGGUAGAAUUACAGUGAAUGUUAAAUACACUCACGUAAUGAUAAGGAAAAAAAACAACCAAAAGUUCGAAAACUCACUUCAUGACUGCUUUGACAUCCUCAUAGGAGGCACUCUUCUGAAGUCGACAAGUUAAAUCCACAACAGAGACGUUGGGUGUAGGAACACGGAAUGCCAUUCCAGUAAGCUUUCCAUUAAGUUCAGGAAGAACUUUUCCAACAGCCUAUAAGGAAAGCAGAGAGAUCAUAAUUUAAUUUUAGUUACAACAAUAGUUACGAAAAUGAAAAACCGGGAUGGAAUAUAUUUGGCUAUUUCUCUCUAAUACCUUUGCAGCACCAGUUGAACUAGGGAUAAUAUUUUGGCCAGCUCCUCUACCUCCUCUCCAGUCCUUCAUUGAAGGGCCAUCAACAGUCUUCUGAGUUGCUGUAUGUUAAAAACUACCGCAUUAACAUAAAAUGCAAUAUCAUGUGCAGCAAAAAAGAAUUACAGGCAGAUAAUGACAGGAUACCUGUAGUUGCGUGGACAGUUGUCAUUAAACCCUCUACGAUACCGAAUUCCUCAUGGACCACCUGCGAUAUUUUAUAUCACAAAAACUGAGGAAAACUGCCAAAGAAGAAGGAAAGCAAACCAGAUGCUUCACAGGGAAAAUGGCCAGGUUAAAUUAAAUAAUGCUGUAAAAAUAGGCAGAUAAAAUUUUCAUCUGCUACAAACUCAAAACAUACAAAAGCAAAAUCUUUGAGAAGUGAAAGUCCUACAAAGAGACCAGUACACCUCAAUAAAAAACAAUGGAAGAACAGAUUUUAGUUUAAAUGCCCUUCUUGGUGAUGAGAUUGAUAUGCUUAAAAUCAGAAAAUGCAGUCAAACCUUGGCCAGUGGAGCUAGACAAUUGGUAGUGCAACUAGCAUUAGAAACUAUGUCCAUGCUCGGAUUGUAGGUAUUCUCAUUUACUCCCACCACAAACAUAGGUGCAUCUGCUGAAGGAGCUGAAAUUACAACUUUUUUGGCACCACCCUACAAAACACGUUCAUGGAAGUUCAUUUUGGAGAAUUCUCCGAAGUGCAUGCACUCACAGGUGUGCUUGUGCUAUGAGAUGACAGGAAAGUACGAUAACUAACCUUCAUAUGUGCUGAAGCCUUAGCUAAUGUGGUGAAAACACCAGAUGACUCAACAACAAACUCAGCCCCAUAAUCACCCCAAGGGAUCUCUGCAGGGUCCCUGGUGGAUAUUAUUUCUAUGUUAUCCCAAGCAAAGAUAGUUUAAUAGCAACUUUUAAUGAAAUCAAAUAACAGAAUUUUGUGUUGUAAUUUGCAAAUUUAAAGCCAUGGGAAUAAAAUAUCCCACUGAAGCUAUAUAGUUCAAAUUCCAAUCGAUAUUCAUGAAAACCUCUCCAGAACAAUACCUUUUGCUUACAACCUGUAUUUGCUUGCCGUUAAUUUCCAAUGUGGACUCAUCCACAACUCUGAUAGUUCCCUUAAAGGGUCCAUGAGUUGAAUCAUAUUUGAACAUAUAAGCCUGGACAAAAUUUAAAGUAAAAGAAAAAGAUACUUCAGAAUUGUUGACAAUUUUGAUAAAGCAGGGAAAAUUUUAAUAGUGACACAAGGCUAUAGACCAAAUCUAAAGAGCAAAUGGGCAGACUUACCAUGUACUUGGCAUCAAUAAAAGGAUCAUUGACAGCUACUACAUCAAUAUCAUCCCUUGAGGUUGCUAUUCGUAAAACCAACCUUCCAAUCCGACCAAAACCUGCAAAGGUUCAUUAUAAAAAAUGAGUUGAUGCAGGAUACAUAAAGCUACAUAAAGCAACACUGAAUUAAGGUAAAUCAACUUGGUUUAGCACUUUAGGACCUAAAACAAUGACAUUAACAGGAUUCUAAUUCUCUCACAUGUUAGCCCACAUGCUUACCGGGCCCAUCCAGCAAGAUCUAAAAAAUGUUUUUAGCUCCACCUACCUCAAAAUACAGAAUAGACAAACAACUGAACUAAAGGUCAAAAGCUAACUUAACACUAAUGACAGUGUAAGCAUCAAUCCAAGUUCUAUUUUAGCGCAUAUAGCUUCUGAAACUUUUCAAUCAUAUAAACUCUAAUAGUAUAUAUGAAGUAUGAACGGCAGUUCUUCACAACUUUUCCUCCCCCAGGAAAGGUUGGGUACCAAAUGGCACAUGCCUACGUUACCCUACCAACACCCCAAUGCACAGUAACCACAUGAGCUAAACAUGGGAUGCUAGUCAAUUUCUAUUUUGCAAGCAUACUCACAACGACUUAAAUACGCAAGAUAACUGGAUAGAAACAAUUUCUACGGAGAUUAAAGAAAUAACAUGGUAAAGAUACAUAUAACCAUCAAAUAAAGCAGAGAAAAACAUUAAAUCAAAUUAAGAAAACAUACCAUUGAUUCCAAUCUUUGUCUUGCCACUGCUCCGUGACUCUAAAAAAAUAGGAAACAAGCAAAAAGCAGAACAUCAAUGCAUACAACUUGUUAACUAAGUUAAAAGAAUUAGAUAAGCCUUUUUUCUGUCCUUGUCACCCUUCCCAAGCAUAAAAAAGAAGGUAACAAAUUCUUACUUGGAACUGUAGGAGGAAUUUCAGUAGCUGUAGCCUUGAUGGGCUGGAUGCUCCUUGAGUUGCAUUUCCUAAAUUUAAAAAAAGCCUUCAGUAUCAAAGGAAAAAAAAACAAAUAUUUGCACAAUAAAGAAAAGAAAAAUGAACAAUCAAUACGUGUAACUCAACUGUAAUGAAGAAGAUCUAGUUGAAACAGAGGCACCAAAAAAGGAGUUGAAAUUUCCACCAAAACCAAGGCUGGAAACCUGAACAAUAUAGCAUUUACAUUGAUAUUGUUAAUAAGUACAUUGAGAUCGCCAACUAACAAUAAAAUAGCAAUGAAAUAUAAACUAAAAAAUAAUUAAAAUUAAAAUUUUAAACAUAUAUUUUAUGUAAGUUUUUUAAAUUUCAUAAAUUCAUCAAAAUAACGAAAAACCGACUUAACACUUAACAGGUAAGGCUCACUCACCAAUCAAACAAUCGAAACGUAACUAAGUCAAUCUACACCCGAAAACUAAAUAAUAAAAAAAGGAUGAAAAAAGUAUUAUAAUCCUUAAGACUCCGUUUGGUUGCAGAGAAAACGUCCUAGAAAAACAAUAAUAAAGAAAAAAUAGAAUGAUUUGAUGUUGCACAAAUUUCAGUCGUUCAGCUGAAGUGUAAGCUCAGCUCAGCUCUAAAUAUUUGUUUGCUUUAAAAAGACGAAAAAGGAAAAAGAACAAUCGUUUUCACUUAUUUUUAAAAGCUAAAUACGGUGUUGAUCAGAGGAAAGUGAAGGCGACCUUGAGGCGAUCAGAGGGUGAGAGAUAUAGGCCAGACCGAUCGGAGGCGGCCUCGAUGAGAGAGGCGGAGGCGGCGGCGGUGGAUCUGAAGACAGAAGAAAAAGCCAUUGCUAAAAGCUUCAGAGACGAAUAAAAAAUGAAUAAAAACCCUAAAGGAUACUGUUUAAGGAAAAAAAGAAGAAGAGAAGCUUUUGGCUUUUGCUGUAGAGAGCAAAGCACGAGAACAAUUGUGAAAUAUAUAAUAUGGAAAAUAUGAAAAUGAAAUUGUUUAUGCUUUUCGAAGGCAAAUCAAAACAGUCACGACAAUUUUUAUAUUUAUAUUUGUUUUGAAUAAACUACCAAAAUACUCAUAUUUAUUUACCUCGGUUUACAUUUUAGCCAUUUAUAUUUAAAAUGUUACAUUUUAGUCACUUACGUUAUCAUGAUGUAAAAUUGUAAUCACUAAGCUGCUAACUACCGUUAACAGCGUAACGAUAAGCUCACAUGGCAUGUUAAAUCAUCAUUUCAAACGAAAAUUUUAAGUUAAAUUUUACAAUUGGUCCCUAUAUUUUUUUCAUUUUGAGCAAUUUAAUUUUUUUCUUUUAUAUUUUUUUAACUUUAUUUUUUUCUUAAUUUUUCAUUGACUUCUGUUUCUCUCUCUCUCUUUUCCUCCCUCACCAUUUCUUUUAACGUAGUUUUUUUUAUAUUUUCUAUUUGUUAAAACUAGUCCACAAACUUACCUUACUCGAAAAAUUAAAUUGUUUAAAAAAAUAAAAGUAUAGGAACUAGUUUUCUUCUAUUAAAUAAAUUUUUUUAUAUUAUAUUUUUGGCAUAAUUGUAAAAAAAGCCCUCAACCUUUGGGGGCUUUUGGAUAUAUGCCCCUAACCUUUUUGUUUUGAAAUCAGCCCUUAACGUAACGGAUUUUUCAGACAUCAACCCAGUUGAAACGAUAAACGUCAGCUGACCAUUAGUCAAUAGCCGGUCAAAAAUUUGGUCUACGUGGCGUUGCUGUUGACUGAUGACGUGGCUCACAUUAAAAUAAAUAAGCUGACGUGGCAAAAAAUUAAACAAAUUUAAUAAUCAUAAAACCAAAAAAACCUUAAAUCCCCAAACCCCCAAAACCGUUUUCCCAAAUCCUAAAAUCCCCAAAUCGUGAAAUUUCCUAAAUCCCUAACCUCCGAAAUCUUUCAUUGAAUCACUAACAGUCUUCAAGUCCCUAAAUCUUCAAAUACCUAAAUCGAUAGCAUUCCGAAAUCUUCUUGAAAUCCCUAAAAUUUUUACGAAUUAAAUCGUUGAGAACGAAAAAACAUAAACAAUCGUGAGAGUUUCCGCAACCCAAAAUCGAAAGGUAGGUGCUUUCUUAUUUGGUUUGUUGGGAAAAUAAAUUCCAUUUUUGGUUUGAUUAGUUGGUUAUUUGUGAUUUACUAUUGCAAUUUGAGUACAGAAAUGUAGGGUUUGUUUUGUCGAUUUUUGAUGCGAUGGUGGUCCUAAUGUUGUUGAUAAAACUGUUGUAAAAAUUGUAGAUGGUUAAUUGUGAUUUAUUAUUGCAAUUUCAGUGCUAGAAUGUGGGGUUUGUUUUGUCGAAUUGUGAUGAGACAGUGGUCCCGAUGAUGUUGAUUUCUGUUACCCAAGCAAAAGAAGUUAAAAUUGUAGACAUGUGUUACUGUUUUGUAUAGUAUUCAAAUAAGUGGUCCCGAUGUAGGUAGUGAGUUCUGUUUUAUUAUUUUUUAAUGUUUUCUGCUUAGAAAAAUGUUUUUUAUUCAAAGCAAAUUGCUUUUGCUCAGAAAAGAUGUUAAACUGGUAGACUUCUGUUACUGCUUUGUUUGUUUUUUAAAUGUUUUUUGCUUACAAUGUGUUACUAUUUUUUGUAGAUGUCAUAAGAUGAUGAAUAUUAUAUUAUUUUGCAUGUGGGUAGGCACUUUGUAAAGGAUCCAUAUGUUAGAUAUGUAGGUGGAGAAGUGAUUAGGCUUAAAGAAGACCCAGACACAAUAUCUUAUUUUGAAUUAUGUAAAAUAUUCAAAAUUGGGUUAAGGUUUAACACUGUCAUGUUAAUCUAUUUUUAUGAGCCUGGUAAAGUAGGGUUACAAAAUAAUCUAAGGGUGAUUUAUGAUGACACUUCAACCAUAGCUAUGUUAGACUUUUGGGUCAAGUUUAAGGAGAUUGAGCUAUAUGUUGAACAUGAGGUUGAUAACCCAAUAAUUGUAGAUGAAAUUUUUUUGUUGACUACUGGGGAGGGUGAUAUUGAAGGGGUGGAAGUUGAUAGGGAGGGUGAUGAUAAAGGGGUAGAAUCUGAUGAUGAAAGUGAUCUAGAAAAGGUAGAAUCUGGUGAGGAGGGUGAUGUAUGAGAGGUACAAGCUGAUGGGGAGGGUGUGCCUGCUACCGGUAUUGAGGUAGAUGAGGAUAUUGGUAUGGAAAGUGGUGGACAUAUUAGUUUAGGGUCUACUGUUGGAGAGGAUAAUGAUAGUGAAGUUGCUGGUAAUAAAUAUGCUAAUGAUUUUACAACAUCAGAUGGAGUGGAUAAUGUUGCUGAUGAAUAUGUUGGUGAUUUUGCAACAUCAGAUAGAGUGGAUAAUGUUACUAAUAAAUAUGCUGGUGACUUUGCAACAUCAGAUGGACUAGAUAAUGUUGCUGCUACACAUAGUGGAGAAGAGGAAGAUGGAAAUGAGACUGAGGUAUGGGACUCAGAUGAACAUGGAAGCUUGGUUGAGUCCGAUGAAGAUGAAGAACAUGAAGAUGGUGAGAGAAAGAGGAGCAAGUUUCCCUUAUACAAUGAUAAGUUAAAGAUUAGUCUGGGAAUGUUAUUUAAGGAUGGUAAACAGUUUAAAAGUGCAAUUCUAAAGUACUCCAAAGAAUGUAGAAGACAACUAAAGUUUAUUAAGAAUGAACCGAAAAGGGUUGUUGUGAGGUGCAUUGCUUCCCCUAACUGUCCAUGGAGAAUUAGGGCUAGCUACAGUCCUGUUGCAAAAUGCUUGCAAAUAAAGACGUUUCAAGAUGAGCACCAUUGUUCGGUUAGUUUUAAGAACAAAAUGGUGACUGCUGCUAUGAUUGCCCAACAUUUUGAAGCAACUAUCAAUGAUCAUCCUAAGAUAAAGCUGAGGGAAAUUCAAAGAAGAUGUGCUUCUGAGAUGCAUGUAAAUGUAACCAUUGACUGUUGUUAUAGAGCGAAUAAAAUAGUGAAUGAGAAAAUGGCUGGGAAUCAUAAGGAUGAAUUUGGUUUGCUAUGGGACUAUGCUCAUGAGUUAAGGUCAAAUAUGCUAGAAAGCACAAUAAAAAUGGCUGUUCAAAGGGUGACAGCAGACUCCCUUCCACAUUUUAAGAGGUAUUAUGUGUGCUUUGAUGCACUAAAGAGAAGCUGGAAAGCAGGGUGUAGGCCACUCAUUGGAUUAGAUGGUUGCUUCCUAAAAGGCCCAUUUAAGAGUGAAUUUCUCACAGCUGUUGGAAGAGAUGCAAACAACCAAAUGUUUCCUAUUGCAUGGGCUGUGGUUGAAGUGGAGUGCACUGAUUCAUGAGGUUGGUUUCUCAGUCUCCUAUCAACUGAUUUGGGCUUGGAAGAUGGGUAUGGGUACACAAUUAUCAGUGACCAACAAAAGGUUAGUAAAUAUGCAAUUUUAAGCUUGAUAUUGUUUUUUUUAAUCUGUUAUUUGUAUUUAACUAAUAUUUUCUAACAAUCUAUGUCGUUCAUUAAUUUGACUUAGGGCAUUGAGAUUGCAAUUUAUGACAUACUACCAAGGGUGGAGCAUAGGAAUUGUGCGAGGCACGUGUUUGCAAAUUGGUCAGGGAGGAAGUUAAAGAAAUCUUAUAAGUGUGAUUUCUGGCAAAUUGCAAAGUGCACGACUGAGAAGGAGUGGGAGGAUCUAUGUUCAGCACUAGAGAAGAAGGAUAAGGAUGUUUACGAUAAUUUGAUGAAAAAGUCUCCAAAUAUGUGGACUAGGGCAUUUUUGGGGACUACUUGUAAAUCAGAUAUAGUUGACAACAAUUUGUGUGAAGCAUUCAAUUCGAGUAUUAUCGAAGCUAGGUUCAAAAGCAUUAUCAGAAUGCUUGAGGAUAUUAGGACCAAGAUGAUGACUAGGAUAGUACAAAAAAUGAAGUUAUGUAAUGGAUGGAAGCAAAAUUAUGGUCCAUUGGUGAAAGCUAAGUUUGAUGCCAACAAGAAGGACUGUGUAGAGUGGCAACUGAUAUGGAAUGGUGAAAAUGGAUGUGAGUUGAGAAAAGGAAGUUACCAGUAUACAGUGGACCUAAGUCAAAGGAUAUGUAGUUGUAGAAGUUGGCAAAUAAGUGGGAUUCCAUGUUCCCAUGCAUGUGCUGCCAUGUAUCACCUAGGGCUUCAACCAGAUGAAUAUCUGGAUGAAUAUUAUCACAUUGAUACCUACAAGAAAGCUUACUCUUUUCCAAUGCAGCCCAUAAAUGGGCCACAUGAUUGGGAAAAAAUUGGUAUUCAGCCUGUGCUACCUCCUAUUGAAAGGAAUAUGCCUGGGAGGCCCAAAAAGAAUAGGAGGAUGGCCAAAGAUGAACCCAAAAAAUUAAAGCCUGGUCAUUUGAGUAGGAAAGGUCUACUCAUGACAUAUACUCAAUGUGGCCAACAUGGCCAUAACAAGCGGUCUUGCACAAAUUCGAAACAGGUACAGUGUUGUUCUUUAGUUAUAAAUAUUGAGUACAUUUUUUAUUUUAAAUUUUUUUUAUUUUGUUUAACCAAUGAUUAUGUUUAAUUUUUUGCAGCAAGAUGCCCAACCACCUAAACAAGAAGGGAAAUCUUCCAUUAAAAGGUCAACUACCUUAGAUAAAUCUAAGGGAAAUCUUCCAUUUUUGCAGUAAGUUUCUUCCUUUUACUAUUGAUAUGAGUUAUUUUAUACAAUGUUAAUAUUAAUAUAAAAUGUUCUUGUAGUCUAAUAGAACCACAAGGAGCAUGAUGACAGCUUCAUGCCAAGAUGGUACUGGACAAACUUCUUCAACAUCCAAGUCGCGAAAUAACAAGCCAAAGGCUCCUCUCGACCACCUGGGAACACAAGAAUCAGUUGUAGGAAACACGAGUAAAUCAUCGUUAUUUUGUUUUGAAUGACUUCUGUUGUUUGUCUUGUGAUUCACUAUAAUAACUUGCUUUUGAUAUUGUGUUGUAUAUGUUUUCUAUUUAACAGGACCAUCUCGUGAUAGCUUUUGAUCUAAAAAAUACUGUGUAAGGUAUUUUGCCUACAACAUUUUGGCUUUGGAACAGAAGAUGGUAGUUACAUUUUGAGCCUACAACAUUCUGGUUUUGGAAUUUCCCAUUGUUAAAUAUUAUUUUGUUGUAUUAAAAACCAAUAUGUUGGUUUUCAUUUUGGUUUAUGUAUAGCUCACUCACAUUUUGGUUUUUGGCUGGUAUAACGUUGAUGGUGUAUAGGGUGAAUGUUGUAUAGACUAAUCAUAUGCUUUUGUAAAGAACAUUUAUCGAAAUUGUAAAGUACAUUUAUCCAAAUGAUCAAAUUUAUCCUUUUAGUCUUAUGUUUAUUGUCACUACAUUAUUUAUUAAGCUAAAUUAAAUUAGGCAUAAACAACAAAUAUUGUUCAUUACUUCCAAGCAUAAUGUUAAAUUACAUAAAAAAACAACCAAUAUUUUUCAAUCAACAUUUGCAACUGCUAGUUGCAUAUGCCUCUUACCAAUACUGCCAAAAAAGAAACCUAUGGCGAUGUAUACAGUACAUAACAUAGAGCAAGAAAAUAACAUCUUAUACAUUGACUUCUCUUUCUUGAUAACUUUAAUUUUUUGCUUCAUGGUCAACACUUUCUUCCUUAAUGCUACUUCUCCUUCAACACCACAAAUUGAUCUACCUCCUUCAACCUCAAUGUCAACGGCACUACUGCCACCAUUAUGGUUACCAUCAAAUGCAACCAAAUCCAUAUCAUUCUUUCUAAGUGCUAAAUUAUCCUUCAAAAGAUUUCGUUCACUAUCACGCAAUUGACGCAGUAACUCAGUCGCACAGUUACACAUUUUCCCAUCGUACCACUUGAAGAAAUCACAACCACCGUCCUACAAACAAAUCCCAAUUCAGCCAAAUUGAAAUAAUCCAAAAUGAAAACAAAACAAAUACUGAGAUUUAUGAAAUCAUCAAAAUUGAGCUCAAGCUCAAUUUGCAAAUAAAAAUUCUUUACUUACCCGAAAAUCUGAACAACCAUAAAACCUCCUCCCCGGAUUUAAAUCGCUUCAUGAAGUGUCUCUUGGAGCUAACUUAUUGCAGUGACAUUUUAUUGCUGGUCCAUCGUAGGCAUACUCCUUCCACAAUAAAGUAACAACAUUUGCAUAUAAGGAUUUUUUCUUCAAACCAUGCGUUACCCAACCUUUAGGCUGACUUUUCGAACUAUGUGAAUCCAUGAUUUCAGACGACAAGGAAGAAAAAUAAAAAUCUCUGGAAAAAUUAAGGAUUUUACGAUUUGGUUCUAAGGGAUUUCACGAUUUCAUUCCUAAUAGUUUUAGGGAUUCAACGAUUUGAUUCGUAAAAAUUUUAGGGAUUUCAAGAAGAUUUCGGAAUGCUAUCGAUUUAGGUAUUUGAAGAUUUAGGGACUUGAAGAUUGUUAGGGAUUCAAUGAAAUAUUUCGGAGGUUAGGGAUUUAGGGAAUUUCACGAUUUGGGGAUUUUAGAAUUUGGGAAAAUGAUUUUGAGGGUUUGGGGAUUUAAGGUUUUUUUAAGUUUUAUGAUUAUUAAAUUUGUUUAAUUUUUUGCCACGUCAACUUAUUUUUUUUAAUGUGAGCUACGUCAUCGGUCAACAGCAACACCACGUAGACCAAAUUUUUUGACCGGCUGUUGACUAACGGUCAGCUGACGUUUACCGUUUCAACUGGGUUGAUGUCUGAAAAAUCCAUUACGUUAAGGGCUGAUUUCAAAAAAAAAAAGGUUAGGGGCAUAUAUCCAAAAGCCCCCAAAGGUUGAGGGCUUUUUUCACAAUUAUGCCUAUAUUUUUUGGUAUCUUAUUAAAGGUAAAAAGACCUCUUCAGUCCCUCUUAAUUUUAAAAUUGGGCAAAUCGGUCCCUCCCAAAAAUUGGAGCAAUUUACUCCUAUCAAUUUCAAAAGUGAGCAAUUAAGGACAAUUAAUCACGAUGUUAAUGCUUUCUGUCAAUUGCACAUAAUUUUGAUUGGUAUAGUAACAAAUUUAACUAUCAAAGUUUAAAAUCUUCUAUCAAUUUGGUAAUGAUUUAACAAAUUUAGGCUGUAACAUUAGUGUAAAUGUUGAGGCUAAAUUUGUUGAUUAUUUUAGAAUUUAGACCAAAUUGACAAAACAUGUAAACAUUAAGAGCUAAAUUUGUUGUUAUACUAAUUAAAAUUAUGUAUAAAGAUAUUAAUGCCGUGAUUAAUUAUCUUUGAUUGCUCACUUCUGAAAUUGGUAGAGAUUAAAUUGCUCCAAUUUAUUUAGAGGGAUAAAUUUGCUUAAUUUCAAAAUCGAGAGGAAUUGGAUAGAUGUUUUUACCCUUAUUAAAAUCUAUUUUUAGUGCAAUAUAGUGUUUUAAACCAAUUUAAUCAAGAAGAAAAGAGUCUGAUAUUUGUUAAGAUCAUGGGUUUAAAUCUUUUGAAUUUAUAUAAUUUCAUCCCUCAUUUAGGAAAUUCAACUAUAAGAAAUAAUAAGAUAUUGGCUAAAUGUUGAAAUUGGGACUAAACAUUUAAAGAGUUGUUCACAUCAUUUCAUUCAAAAUAGUUUAAGGGUUAAAUUAUUACAAAAAUACUUAAAUAAGGGUUUUUAUGCAUUUCGUCUAAAUUUUAGCACAAAAUUAUAUGAAUGAACUUGAUUUACGAUGUUUGAGAAUCCUUUAAACACUCCUGAAAAAGUUUAAACUUCAUUUAACAUUUAUUUGAUCAUUUUAAAAUAUUUAAUUCAAAUUUUAUGAUUUGUUAUAACAUUCAAAUAAUUUUUUAAAAAUAAGUGAUCAAAAUAUAAACUCAAUAAUAAUUUAGUUGGCUUAGGUAUAAUUUAUCGUUUCAUUAAAAAGCGUACAUACACUGUAUUAAUGAUUUGUAUUAUAUAAAUUUAAUUAUUACAAUAAAGUCUUUCAAAAUUACAUAAAUUUAAAAAAUAUAUAUAUGAAGUAAUUUUUUAAGACGGUUUGUAAAAUAAAAAAUAUAUAUUAUCAAUGUACUAAAUAUUAAUCUUAAAUUUUAAAGGUAAUUAUUUAUCGUAAGUAAAGUUUUUUAGAUUUUAUAAGUAAAUUAAGGAUGUAACAAGUGUCACAUUUAUUUAUAUAAUUUUUUUUAAAUAUAUCUUGUAACAUUAAAUUUUGCUUUUAAACUUUAAUAAUACAUUAAUUAUUUAUGUUAUACUUUAAUAUCCUAUUGUUUGGUGUUUGUACGGUGAUCAGUAGGAGUAUUUAAAAUGGAAAAAAAAAUAUUAAAAGAGCAAAGCUUCUUAAGGAACCUGAAAAGCCACAAUCCAAAUAGCAGCUCUUUCUCUCGCCCUUCUGACAGAUUUGACUCUUUCUUUAAUUAUCUUAAAAAAGAAAAAGAAAAAGAAGGGAAUUCACUACUAAUUUCUAGCGUGUGCGUGUAUCACGUGACUUUUACGUGAACACGUGAGUCUCAAAGACAAAUCUUAACCGUACAAAUUAUUUGGGGGCUUUCAAUGAAAAUUACAAAAUAAGGUAGCUUGUAAAAAAAUAAUUUAUUUGUACUAAAUUACAAAAUCUAUAUACUAUUAGAAUAAUUAAUAAACUAUUUAUUAUUCUAAUGAGCACUAUUAUCGAAUUAGUCAAAUUAUUAAUUUUUAAUUUGAUCAAUUUAAUUAAAUAUAUUAUUAAAAAAUUAUUCAAUCAAUAUGCAGAUUAAUCAGUAACUAAUUCUUAAUUUGAUUAGAUAACUUAGUCCUAAAAAUAGUGGUUGAGUCGAAUAUAGUAUGUCCUUAAAUAUCCAAAUUCAAGUUAUACUAUGUGUAAUAGCUAUAAUGAUAAGUUUAGCUCUUAAUGUUUACAAUUUUUUGUCAAUUUGAUCCUUAUUUUUUUAGUUAAAAUUGACCAUUAAAUUUUCAAAGAAAGUCGAAUAAUUUUUUUAAAGGAGAUGUCACCGUAUAUACUCUGUGCUAACAUGACAAUAUGAUCUUAUUGUCACAUCAAUAAAUAAUUUUAAAAUUUUAAAAAAUAGCAUGAAGUGCACAUGAAUGUCAUGUUUAAAAAUUUUAACUUUUUAUUUAGUAUAAGCAGUUCGACUAUUUUUAAAAGGUUGAUAAUUAAAUUCGAUUUUUUUCAAAAAUGUUAAUAACACCAACAAGUGGUUAGAACUUAGAAAGAGUUAAAGUGAAAUUUUUUCCCAAACAUUUGAAUUAAGUUCGAAUCAAGUGAUUCUUGUUAAGAGAACUUUACUUUGAAUAUCACUUUGACUCGAACAAGACUAAUCUCAUACUCUAAAACACAUUAAAACAUUGAAAGAUAUAAAGAUAAAAAAUUAAAUUCUUAUUUUUUUAUUUAUUUAUAACAACUAAAUUAUUAAAUAAAUCCAUUUUUUUCAAAAUUAUGGAAAUAAAUCAAUUUUUAUUAUUUAUAACAACAUCUGGUGGAUGCGUUUUAACAAAAACGAUUCAUUUUGGUCAUUUUUAAAAAAUUGGCCUAUUGACGAAAUUUUGAAAGAAAAGGGCUUUGUUUGAUAAUUUAAUCAUUUAUAAGUAACGAGACAGGUUGAGGAGAGAUGAAGUCGGGUCGGAUCCGGGGUUGCAUGGAAGAGGUGGCAAUGGCGAGGUAUUGUUCCCAAGAAGCAGUAAUUGAUGAAGACAAGUGGGGAACUGUGUGAAUCACGUAGGUGACGUUGUCGCGUAGCGGAGAGCAACAAACUAAACUAGGCGGAGUUCUCGAAAAUGCCGAGGGAGGUGGACCGAUGUGACCCCCCGACUCUCGGCUUUUUUCUCUUUUUAGAUUUCACCGGUCCUACACCGUCCCCUCCUCAUUGGCCUUUUGCCCUUUUUAUAUUAUUUUUGUUAUUUUAUUCAUUUUUAAAAGGUUAACGUUCAAUACUAAUCAAAAUAGGUUAAAUUGCUAUAUGUCCCUGUAUUUUUCUUACAUUUAAAAUUUAAUCUUUUAAUUUUUUGAAUUAAAAAAUAUAAGUUCGGUUUUUAACUCAGUUAAAAAUUUUCUAUUAAAUUCUGAUUUAUUAUAAUAUUAUUUAUUUUGUUACAAGGGUUUUAAGUUUUUUCGUUGGUUCAAAAUGUAACACUGAUGAAUUUAAUAGCAAAAUUUCUUUUGGAUGAUUACAAUAUUGGGAAAGAGAGAACGGAAAGAUGGGAUUUUAACUCGUGUCAUCUAUGUGUCGAGCAUGAGCUUUAUCCAGUACUCCAAACUAGUCUUUGGCAACAAAAAGAUAAUAAGCGUAUUAACAAAUCGACUUAAAUUUUGAAACUUGAAAAGUUAAGGGAUUGAACUUUUAAAAAUAAAAAUAGAAUGAUUAAAUUUCAAAUAUACGAAGAAUAAUGAGACCUAGAGCAUAUUUUAACCAUCAAAAUAUUUAUGCUAUAUAAAAGGUUAAAAUAUGCCUAUAAUCCCCGAACUUUUCAAAAAAUAGUAAUUUAGUCUUUGUACUUGUAUUUCUAGACAUUUAGUUUAUUUACUUUACAGAUUUCAAAAUUUAAAUCAAAUUAUUAAUAAUAUUAUUAUUAUUAAAUUCAAAUUAAUUACAAAUAUUUUUUUUCAAUUAUAUAACUAUCAAAUCAGAAGUUAUUUAUUUUAAAAUAUCACAACAAUACGUUGAAUAAAAAAUUAAUAAUAUAAAACAACAAACAAUAUUAACAUAUAAAAAAUUUAAAAUCAAUAUAUAAUGUAGUGGUGGGUAGGUGAGGUUAGAUUGCCCUACUUCAUCUUUGCUUGUACCUACCCCUGCCAAUCAACCUUUGAAGUUUCACCAAAUGAAGGGUGAGUGCUUUCUUACAAAAUCAAUACAAACCUAACUAUAAAAUAAUAAUAAAUUGAUCUCCUUAUAAAAAUAUAUAUAUAUAAACCCCUCUUCCCUUUUAUAAUUUAAGUAUAAUCCUACUUUAGUCUAGAUGAUAUUCAAAUAAAACUCUCUAAUAUUAUUGACUUCAAAAUUCAAAUUUUGUUAAAAUUUAAAAAUUAAUUCAUCUGUUUCAAUAUGUUAUAAUUUGGUAUUUAUAUUUUAUGAAAAUUGAAAAGUAAGUGUAGUUAUAACAAUGAUGCUUGACCAGUUUAAAAUGAAUUUUUUUUUAUUUAAGUUUAUUUAUAAUUUAUAAAAUUUUAAAUUAAUAAUAAUAAAAUUACACUUUACUCUAAAAAUGACAAAGUAAUUUAUUUAAUCCUUUCAAAAUUAUAAAAAUAUAAACUAUUAAAAUAAUAAAAUUAUAUUUUUAUUAUCAUAAAAAUAUAAAAUUUAAUUAAAAAAAAGUUCUAACUUCACCCUAAUCUUGAUCAGCUAGUAGGCCAAUCCUAUGUAAGUUUUGUGUGGGCUUUAUAAUGUUUUAAUUGGAUUUUUUGAACGAAGUAAAUUAGAUAUAUAUGAAUUUUGUAAUUAUCAAUUAAUAUAAUUGUACUUACAAAAAAAUGAUUAAUGUUGUUAUCGGGAAAUAUAAUUAUCAUUUUUUACUACUUUUUAUAUAUAAAUUGCUGAAUUAUUAAUUCUCGAGCUAAUGCUUUAACGACGAUUUUAAUAAUAUUAUAAAAAUAAAUUAAUUUAUUAAUUUUUGUAAAAUAUGAUAAUUAAAAUUUGAGAAAUUAACUUAUCAAUUUUCGAGAGAUAAAAUUCAUCAAUUGCAUAUUUAAUUUUAUAUGUUUUAUUGUUUUAAGUAAUCAAUUUUUAAAAUAAUUAAUAUUUUAUAUAUAAUUACAAACUAAGAUAACAUUUAUAUUGUAAGUUAAAUAAAUUCAAUUCUUCAAAAAUUAUACUUGGAUUGGUUCUCAGCUUCUCAAUCUUGAAUUUUCUAAGACACUUUUCACUACCUUUUUCGUCACGUGACUGGGUAUCGUAUAUUUAGGAAAGGUCCAUCGCCCAUGGGCUUUUCACGUGCUCUGUAGCUUUCUGAUAAAAUCUUAAAUUACCCUUUCACUUUACUCUUUUUCGCAGAAGAGUCUCCCUCCCUAACAUUACAUUUGUAGCGAUUGAGAAAAAGAAAACUGAGAGAAUUGAAAAUAGAAUGAACUAAUUUUGAAUAUUAUUUGAAUGUAUUUGAUUUGAUUUAUGCAGAGUGAUGAUUAAUUUUUUUGUCAAACACCCAUUUGAUACGAGUUCAAACUAAGUUAUCCCGUCUUUACCUCAAUAUUGUAUAAAAAAUUAAUUUAUAAAAGGAUAUAAUUAUUAAAUUUGUUAUAAUAACCUACCUAUUGUGAAUUCACUUCAUGAUUCGCCAACCUCACAUGAUGCUUUGCGAGCUAAGGACAUAUAUGAGACCAAUACCUUGUCAAUCAAGACAUUUUUGGUAAGGCAAACUCAUACUGUAGGCACCGCACUCAUGACAAAGACAAAAUAUCAACCAUUUAUAUAUUGCAUUUAUCAAUUAUUUUGACGUGACAAUCUAUACCUAAUAAGAAUAAACGUUAAUAGGUCAAUUAAGCUUUAAGAAAUACGAAACUAACGAAGGAACGAUACAUGACACCUUGUGAGGAAUCGAGUAUGCUCUUUACAAGACCCUCCAAGACCAAUGAAUAAGGAUUUUUUCUCUCUAUCUUCUUCAUUCAUACCUUCACUUACAAAAGCCCUUCUUCCUCCCUCCAAUUCUAAUCACCUACGACUCUCUACCUAUGGAAUGAACCAUCAUGAACAUCGUAAUCUUAAUCUAGUAUCAACAAAAACUAAAUUUAAUAUCUUUUUUUUUAUAAAAAUACAUAGAACUAUCCAUGUCCAUCCCAACCUUUAAAUUAAAUGUAAAUUUUACAUAAUAUACAAUAAAUUUUUAUAUUGUUAUACCCCCACCCUAACAUGACACAUGGCAAGUUGUCGGAUAGCUUGCAAAUGGCCCUUCGUUAAGAGUGGUCUACAUAUAAAUCGUCGCAAAGAAUCAUCUGCAUCAACCAUUCAUAUGGGGCAGUCUGCAAGCGGCCCUCUAUUAAUCCCCAUUUAGUUAGCCUAGAAAUAGUCCACUUCACACCCUGUUGGGACCAUUAAGGCAUAACAACAUCAUACAACCCCAAUGAUGAGAAUAUCAGAGUAAAACCAUACAAUACACUCUAUAGUUACAAUUGACCUACAAUGACCCUAUUAUAUGGCCAACACAUAACAUUGUAAGAUACUGUAUUGUCAACUACAUGACAUUAUAGGACAAAUGAUAACCCCUUAUAUAAGCAUGAGUGCACGAGAAAUUAAUGAUCAACUCCUUCUACCUUGAAAACCCGACACAACAAUCCUAGCUUUCUUCUCCUUUUUUUACUCUUAACUCUCCGGUUAUGACCGAUAAACCAAUACUUCUUUUCACUAUUCUCACCUCAUUAUUGACCACUUAUAUCGACAAUUUUUUUAAUUUAAAAUAUUAAAAGUUUUAAAAAAUUUUAAAUUCAUGAAUUCAACCGUUUUAAAAUUGGAUUUAGAUGAGUUAAAUUAUUUUAGUAUUUAAUUUAAUUCCAGUUCAGUUUCAAAACCGAUAUCAACCAAACCGAGCGCGCUACUCUAACAUUUUCGUCCACUAAAUAUCAGCCACGUGGAAAGAACAACUUUUGACCCAACUCAAUACUCUCACUGUUCAACACGUGUCUUCCCUUUAGAUACCCCAGAUGCCUUGAUUAGUCAUUCCCCCUCUCAAAAUUUCAAAGUCUUUCUUUUCUUUUUUUCUUUAUUUUUUCACAUUAAAAGAAAAAAAAAAAACCCUCCCUCCUUUCUUCUUCUCUCUUUGUUUGUAAUUUUGGUUUCUUAGAAGAUUCAGCUGCAAAAAGAUAAAGAAUAAAUUACAGGUAAAUUAUAUAUAUUUUUGGGUUUUUCCCCCUUAAAAUUUAUGUUUCUGUUUUUGGGCUUAGUACUUUCUUGUUUGGUUGGUGGGAAAGUACCAAAUAGAAAAAGAAUUUUUUUUUCCCUCUAUUGGAUUUUUCUCUUUUGUUUUGCUUCGGGUUUGGGUUUGUGAUCUCUAAUCUUAACUUAAGCUAAAAAAUAAAAGAAAAAAAAUUGAGAACUUCAGUAAUUAGUAAUAUUCUGGAAAUUCCGUGUGUUUGUGUGUGUGUUAUUUUAUUCAGUUCUUAGUUAUUAUCAGGAAGCAAGCAGAGUAAUUAGGCUUAUUAUUUGGCUAAAAUGGGUCAUAAUUUUACUUAAAAUCAUGUCUUAUUUAGCAUUAAAAAAAGAAUUAAAGUAAUGGGUUUUUCUUGUUUGUUUAAUUUCUUUCCUUUUCUUUUUAUAAAUUAAAUUUGCAAUUGCUUGGUUUUAAUUAGGUUACUUCAUGCAUGUCCAUUGCAUGGGUUAUUUUAAGAGUUUGGAUGGAUAAUUUGUUGUUAAUUUAAUUUAAUUAUCAUUUAUGCCUGCAAUUUGGAAUAAACUAGUGAAUUUCAAGUAGUUGGUUACAUGAUUUAUUUUAAAUUUCAAUUUUAAUCAUUUCUGAAAAUGAUUUUUUUUACAUUGAAUUGAAAAUUGUAUCUUAAUUGCUGUUUUUCUUUGGUUUCUCAAAUUGAAAUUGCUUUUGAAUUUGGCAUUUUUGAUAUACUUGCAUACGCUCAAGCAUGAACCUUUGCAUUAUACAGAAUCAGAUGAGUAUCAUAUAUGAGUAAAUUCAUUUCUUAUAACUAUGUACACACAUAGAUAUAUAAUCGUAACUUUAUACCCAUACCCAUGUCCGAAUAUGUGUCAUAAAUCUGAGUAUUUUAGGAUCUAUUAACGUAAAGAUUUAUCUUUGGACUUUGGGAUGCUUACCUUUUGGUAUCAUUGGGAAGCAAUACUUCUUUGUCAUGGUGGGGAAACUGGAAAAGAGAUGCAAUUAUGGUGUUUUUCGCCAGAGUUGUAUGGUAUAGAAUCUUGAAAAUGGUGGUUUGAAGAAUAUAUAUGUUAGCAAUGUUACACUUAUAUGGUAUCUGCUUGAUGUGUACUUUGUUCUCUCGAUUUGUGACAGCGUGGGGUAUUUCAGGAUAAAACGAGGGCAAAGGGAUCUUUUGGGAAAUUACCAUGGACCGAUCUGAGCAAACUGAACAACAGCAGCAGCAGCAACAGUCUGUGAUGGGAGUUGUAGCCGGUACUGGACCAAUGGGUUAUUCUACUGGUCCCUAUCAAGCUGCUCCUGUGGCUGCUUCCGGCACUCCAGCAACGGCAGUCCCUUCACCAACUCAGCCUCCGGCUACUUUCUCUGGUUCUCCGCACCAACUUGCCUACCAACAAGCUCAACAAUUUCACCACCAACAGCAACAGCAACAACACCAACAGCUUCAAAUGUUUUGGGCCAACCAAAUGCAAGAAAUUGAGCAUGCAUCGGACUUCAAGAACCACAGUCUCCCGCUCGCACGGAUCAAAAAGAUAAUGAAAGCAGACGAAGAUGUGCGAAUGAUAUCGGCGGAAGCUCCUGUUAUUUUCGCGAAAGCUUGUGAAAUCUUUGUCUUGGAACUGACCUUACGAUCUUGGAUCCAUACAGAAGAGAACAAAAGGAGGACGCUACAAAAGAACGACAUCGCAGCUGCCAUUUCACGGACAGAUGUCUUUGAUUUCUUAGUUGAUAUUAUCCCGAGGGACGAGUUAAAAGAAGAGGGACUCGGGGUCACCAAGGCCACCAUUCCUUUCGUUGGUUCGCCUACUGAUAUGCCAUACUAUUAUGUCCCACAACAUCCGGUGAGGCAUGCAGGGAUGACAAUGGGAAAGCCGGUUGAUCAAGCUGCAUUGUAUCCCGGCCAACAGCCUCGACCGCCUGUGGCUUUCGUUCCAUGGCCCCAUGGUCAGCCACAGCCACCGCAGCCGCAGCAAUCUGAACAGCAGCAAAGUGAUUCUUGAUUGAGAAGGGAUGAGCUCCAAGACAUGGUAAUGUUGACACUUCUAAUGGUUGGAAAUUGAAUUUAGCACUGGUUUGUUUGUAGUUAGGUUGACGUUGUAGGUUUAUGGAGGAUCUGGACUCCGAGUUUAGGCUUUUUAUGAAUGAUAGGAGAUCUCGAAGUAGCUAUGUUUAUGUUUUUAAUGGAGGAGCGAUUAGUCGGAAAAGCUUCAUUCCGAGCUAAUCGCGGAUUCUACAACUAAAGCUGAAUACAUUUCUCUGUUAAAUUCAAAUAUGUUUAUUGUUCGUAUUAAAUAUUAGUAUCUAAAUUCGAAUUAAAUAACAUUACGGGUUAGAUACUUGAAUUUGUUGUAGAAGUAAUACUGACUUGGAUAAUAGAAAAUCAAAGGUUAAUAUCUUCAUUUGCAAGCAAAUUGAAAAUGUAUAUCAUACUCCUAAUACAUAAGUUUCUGUAAUUUUAUUUUUAAUAAUUCAGUCCCUUUACUUUUUAUCUUAAACCUCAACCCCAUCCCAACUCCUUUUCAUCUUAGGUCCAGUGGGCCCUUCUUCCCCUAAAACUUCCUUUGGCAAGCUUUUCAUAAAUUUCUCAAUUCCAGGCAACAAUUUCCCCACUUUCUUAAUCUCAUCACCCAAAUCAUAGCUCACCUUUGGCCCCCAUUCCCUGCAAUAAUUCAACCAUGGUGGUUCAACAACACUGUUCCCCAAAUACUCCCCGGCAACUAACUCAAAUCCUACCCCGGUAUCCAUUAAAAUCUUGCUCUUAGCAGUAUCGUUAUGGAUCCCAAUUGUUCCUUUUCCUUGCAAAACCAGCCCCGGUUUCGAAUACAUAGCAUGCCCGUGCAAUGAUGAAUACGUGCACGGCUUGUUUCCGCCAUUGAAUUCCAGCUCUGACACGGUCACCCAUGAGCCUCCACGGUGAGCUGAGAAAUACACACUUUGUAAUUCGCCGGUGAAGUUGCUGAUUCUCAAAGUUAGGUGUUCCCAAUCGCCAACAUGUUCUCCGAUCUUUCCUAACGGUAUGUUGAUGAAUACCGCUUUGGCUUUGGCUCCGCCGUUGAAAGGGUAAAAAACCCAUAUUUGAAUAUCUGUAUAUGUUGCACCCAACAUGGGUUUUAUGUGUAAAUAAACUUGGGUUUCCUUUAAAUCUCCUUUUUUCACUUUCUCUUUUGAUGGUUUGUCGAUGGGGAGAUCUAGCCAAUAGUAUCCAUCGUUUGAACCACCUAGGGGAAGGUUCGAACCGGUUGGUUAGAUCAGGACUGGAUUUGACUCAUCCCCUUUUGUGUAUAGUAAUCCGCCAUUGAUGAAAAACCAGUUGACUGAUGAUGGAAGAUAGGUUUCCUUAGGGUGGAAGUAAAUCAAUGGCGAAUAAGCUUGAAACAAUGUUUCAAUUUGUUGUAUGUUAGGCAUUGAAGAAAGAUAAUUAGGUUUCUUGUUUCUCAAGCAAGCUAAAGCGGUAUGUGAAAGGGAUGGAUUAUUAGGAUUUUGAGCUAUAAAUGAGCCUACACAGACACCCAUUUGUUGAGGUCCUCGAUUCAUCGGCAUUAUAGUGAAAUAGUUAAGCUCAUUUGCAUUGCUUUCCUUCCCAAGUCCCCAAAUCCAUGUUUGAUUCUCAAUUUCGUCGGUGAAAUCAGAUCGAGCACAACGGAUUUUAUCAAUAGGUGGCUUGUGUUCAGUGUUGGUAACAAUGUGACCUAAUGCAUGAUAUCCUUCAGGAGCAAUUGGUAACCAAAUGUACCCAUUGGUGUCUUGCUUGAUACCUAACGAUUCACUGGUCCAGAUUAGGUUGUAAUCAACUGGUCGUAUUAGCAAAUCUUGAUUGUCGGUGUCAUCUUUUGCAACAAGAACCGACCCUGAAAGCAACCGGUUGUUCGACUGCCCAUAGCUAGCUAGCAUGUGAAAUCCAUUUGGUAUCAAUGACGGUUCGAAAAAAGUAGCACCGAGAUCAUCUGGUCCGCCUUGGUAGGUCACCCACACUUUUGUAAAAGUCGAUAUUUGACAUACUUGUAGUCCACCAAGAUCAAUAAUUCCCUUUGCAAACCCUUCACCUACAAAUUUAAAUAGCAAUUACCAUGCAAUGCUACAGUUAUAUAAGAAUACGCAACUCGUGAUUUAAAUCUUCGGGUUAGUAACGUUGUUGUUGAAGAUGAAAAUAGAGAGGUACCUGGUGGCCAUGUUGGUAAUGGAGAUGGAAGCUUGAAGACUGUUUCGAUUGGCAAAGCUUUCUUUCUUUUGCGGUGAAGAGUAAGACAAUUCCCCAUACUUACCAUGUUUAAUAUCAAAAGGUCACAUACAUACAUAUAUAUAUAUAUAAAGGUAUUUAUAUAUACAUAUAAUUAAGUAUAUUGAUGAUCUAUGGGAAAAAAUUAAAAACUAUAGGAAUAUAUGAUAACACUUAGGGAUAGGGCAGCCAAUGCAUGUGACGUGCAAGGAACCCUAUUUGUAAUUGACAAGCUUUUAGAUGUUGUUCAACCUCUCUUCUACGCCAACUUCCCCACUUUUUGUUUGGGUAAAUUAUAUUAGUAAUCACCCCACUAUGGUUUUUUCUUUUUUUUUUAGGUCACUCAAUUAAGAAAAGUCACAAAACGGUCACUUGACGAUUAAUAAAUUUUUUUUUAUCACUCAACUAUCUAAGACUUUUGUGUGUUUCCAUUUCUAUGUUAGCUAGCUGGUGAUCAAAAGAAUAAAUUGAAUAGACAAAUGACUAUUUUGUAACUUUUCAUAAUUAGGUGACCAAAAAAAAAAUCAUAGAUGGGUGACCUCUACUGUAAUUUACCCUUUUUGUUUUUCGGGAUAAAUAUCAAAACUAUAUAUGAACUUCUUUUCAAUGUCCAAUUUGAUCAUAAACUUUGAUUUGGAGCAAUUAUACACAUGAAAUUCUGAUUAUGAUUAAAUAAUAUACACGAAACUUUGAUUUUAGUUCAAUUGUACACAUUUAAGCUACAUUUGGUAGGAGUAUUAUUUAUUCAUCGUGUUUGAGUAUAUGAGUAGCAGUAAACUAAUUUCAAUUGGUAAUUUUUAGUCAUUUCACGUGACUUGUUUUGGGAAAAGAGAAUGUUUUUUUUUAUACUUAUUUUGAAGAAGUCUUACUUCUUCUAAGAGUUUUUCCUCAUCUUUCUAGUUUCAAGCUUAAGUUUGUACUAAUUAUUCUUUAUAUUAUGUCUAACUAUAUAUUGUAAUACAUAUGUAAUAAAUAAGUUUUUUCCUUGUGUUAUUAUUACACUAGUAACCAAACGAGGCAUUGAAGAAAUAAAUUCUUCAAUUUAUUUUAUAUUUGAUAAAUAUAAUAAUUUGUCUAUGCAAUAUGUAAAUGUAAAAUGCUGCUAAAUUGGUAAUUGUGUUAGUAAUUUGUGAAAAUUGAAUCAAAUCAGAAAGUUAUAUAUUAAAUUUCACAAAAUCAAAAUAUAUGUAUAACAUUGCACGUUUGACCAAAGUUCAUGUGUAAUUUUGGGAUUUAUCCCUUUUUUUUUCUUUGAAUUUAAAUUUAGUUUGUAAUGCGACUGACUAAACCACAAGUGAAGUGAUAAAAGGAUUUAAUGCAAGUUUUCAGUAAACACCAAUCUAGGAUUAGGGUGAGUUCAGUUCGGUUUGAUCAGAUUUUUUAAAACCAUCCAUUAUAAUUUGGUUUAUUUGAUAAAGUUUCAAUUGUUUUUCAUGUUUCUAAAAAUAAGCAAUAACUCAUAUAUUGUAUUUUCUGAAAAAUAUUUUUAUAUACAAUUUUUAAGUUAUUAUUAUUUUAAAUAUAAAAUAUUUAUUUUUACAUUAUAAAAAUAAUUUAAUUAUAAAUUCAAUAAAAAAGAAGAAUUUGAUUCAAUUUGUUUUAUUAACAGUCUAAAAACUCUAAUUUGAGCCUAUUUUUAAUUUUUCGAUUUUUUUUCCCAACCCUAACUUAAGAUUGAAUUCCUAGAUAACCCCUCCCUUAUAAUUUUGUUCUUUUUCACUGCAAUUUUUAUUAAUUAAAUAUUUAUUUUAUUUUCGUGAAUAAUGUUUGACAUAAAUAAAAAAUAACAAACUAUUCUAAAAGUUGUUCUUUUUUACAAUUGUAAAUAUCACAAAAGUGAUUUUUGGGUGGAAUUAAAUUGAAUAUUUUUAUGAUAGUAAAAAUAUAAUUUAAUCAUUUUAAUUGUUUAUGUCUUUAUAAUUUUUAAAUGGUUAAAUCAUUUUUUUAAUCAUUUUUAGGGUCUAAAUAUAAUUUUAUCAUUACUAAAUUAAAAUUUUAUAAAUUAUAAAAUGCUUAAAUUGAAAAUUUACCAUUUUAAGAAGAGCCAUGCCACCAACUACAUAUAACAAUUAUUAAGUAAAUAAUUACAAUAAACUUAAUUAACAAAAUGUAAAAUGGGUGUUUAAAUUCUUGAUUUUGAUUGCUUUGGUAGGUUUUGCUUGUAUUUGAAAGUUUAGCUCAAACCUUAUACCAAAAUAUACUUUCCUUUUUCUUGUUUAACCCAAAUAGAAAUGCAAAACUCACAAAAUAAAAUUAGGACAAAGUAUCAGAAUAGUUACUUUUGUUUACCUCAUAAUACAUUUUAGUCACUUAUUUUGAAAAUGUUAUGUUUUAUUCACUUACGUUUAGAGCUGAUCAUGGGCGGGCCGGGCGGCCCGGCCCGGCCAGAAGGCCCGCUCAAAAAAUGGGCUUGGGCAAAAAAAUGAGGCCCGUUUAGAAAACGGGCCGGGCCUCGGGUAAGAGUUUUUUGGCAGGGCCCGGCCCGGCCCGACCCGAAUUAUAUAUUAAUAUAUAUUUUUAUUUUUUAAAAUUAUUUUAAAUUUUUAAUAUAACUAUUUUUUAUUAUAUUGGUAAUUUGUGUAUUGUUUUAAGAAUUAUUUUAGUAUUAUUUUUAUUUGUUUUAAUAUUUGUUUUUAUGUUUUUAAAUAUAUUUGAUUUAUUAUAUUUUUUAAUUUUUUUAUUUAAUAAAAUAAGAAAAAAAUUAAUAUGGGCCGGGCCGGGCUCGGGCUUAGUAAUUUUAUUUUGGGCCGGACUUGGAAAAAAUUUUAGGCCCAUAUUUCGGGCCGGGCCGGGCCCUGGCCUAGUAGACGGGCCUAAAAUUUUGUCUUGGCUUGGCCCGGCCCAUGAUCACCUCUACUCACGUUAUUGCGUUGAAUAUUUUAGUCACUGGGUCAUUAAUUUCUGUUAACGGUGUAACGGUAAACUGACAUGGCACGUUAAAUCAUCAUUUCAAACAAAAAUUUUAGAUUUAUUUAUACAAUCGGUUUCCAUAUUUUUUUCGUUUUGCGUAAUUUAUUUUUUAUUUUAUUUUCUUUUAGCUUUCCUUUAUUUUUCAUUCUCUUCUACUUUUCCCUCUAUUUUCCUCCAUUCUCUAUUUCUUUUAAUGUUGUCUUUCUAUAUUUUUUAUUUGUUAAAACUAGUCCCUAUACUUUUAUAUUUUUGAACAAUUUAAUUUUUUCGAGUGAGGCGAGUUUGUGGACUAGUUCUAACAAAUGGAAAACAUAGAAAAACUACAUUAAAAUAAAUGGAGAAGGGAGGAAACCAUGGAGAAGCAGAAGAAAAUGGAAAAAAAAAAGAAAGUUAAAAGAACACAAAAGAAAAAAAAUUAAAUUGCUCAAAAUGAAAAAAUAUAGGGGCCAAUUGUAGAAUUUAACCUAAUUUUUUUUGUUUGAAAUGAUGAUUUAACGUGCCACGUCAGUUUACCGCUAUACUGUUAAUGAGAACUAACGGCUCAGUGACAAAAAUGUUACACUACGAUAAUGUAAGUGACUAAAACGUAACAUUUCAAACAUAAGUGACUAAAAUAUAACUUGAGGUAAAUAAAAGUGACUAUUUUAACAGUUUACCCCUAAAAUUAAUUUUCUUGAUUUAUAAGCAAAAUGUGGGCGAAAGGGACAAUUACCAAACAACAACUAAUGAAAAUUUUAUGCAUUCACGUUCAUGGAUAGCAUUUGGGCAAAUUUUCCUUUUAUCAUAAUUGAACCAAACUGUUUUUUGAAAAUUAUCUCACAAUUCAAUCAUGGACAUCUUUAUUCAAUACUUUGCAAGUGAUAGUUUGGAUUCGAUUAUUUGGGUUAUUAGGUGCGCUAUAAGAAAGAAGUAUUUUAUGGGGCUAUAGGGGAGACGUUGUUUUUAAAUAAUGGAUACACCGAAGUUUCUUUGUUAUUAGGGCUAGUUUUGCAAUGUUUUUGAAAAUUGUUUUUAAAAAGUGUUGUGGAAAAAUACUCUUGAGAAGUGCUUUUGAACAGUUUGGUUUAAAAAUUAAGUGUUUAGCAUUACUGUCAAAAGAUGCUUUUGAGAAAUAAAAUGUCCAUUUUAGACAUGUUUUUAUCAACUAACAAAUAUGCAUUUAAAUAAUAUUUAAAUUAGUUAAUAUUAUUAAAUUUUAGUAAGAAUAUAAAAAAAAUUAUUAUAUAACUUGUUGUUAAUAUUUUAAUAUAUGAAAUAUAAAUUUUAAAUAUUUUUAAGCAAUAAAUUUUAAUUAUUUAUAAAAUUUAAUUAGAAUAUAUAAACUAUAUUUUAAAUAUUUAAAUAUAACCAUUAAAUAUUUGUAAUUAGUAUUUAAAAAAUUGAAUUAAUUAAUGAUAACUAACGGCUCAGUGACAAAAAUAUUACAAUACGAUAACGUAAGUAACUAAAACGUAACAUUUCAAACAUAAAUGACUAAAAUAUAAUCUGAGUCAAAUAGAAGUGACUAUUUUAACAGUUUACCCCUAAAAUUAAUUUUCUUGAUUUAUAAGCAAAAUGUCAGCGAAAGGGACAAUUACCAAACAACAGCUAAUGAAAAGUUAUUACGUUGCUUUUUUAUAUAACAACAUAUAUAGGAUAUUUCAACAUCAUAUUUGAAAACCAUGCAUUCACGUUCAUGGAUAGCAUUUUGGCAAAAUUUUUCGGAUUGUCUUUGAAAAUCAUCUCACGAUUCAACCAUGGACAUCUUUAUUCAAUACUUCGCAAGUGAUAAUUUAGAUUCGAUUAUUUGGGUUAUUAAUUAGGUGCGCUAUCCAAGUAUAAUCUUUAUCCUAUCUAAGUAUAUAUCAAUAUUGCCAAUAGAGUCUUAGCUCAAUUGGCAUGAGUAUUGUUGCCAAUGUAGGAGGAUGAGGGUUUAAGUGCAUUGAAAAGUAUUAUCAUCUUAUUUAUGGGUUGAAGAAGAGCUAUAGGUAAUUUUAGGCAUUGUGUCAAAAAAAAAAAAACAAAUAUGAUCAGAACUUAUAAUGAGAUUGUUAAUAUAUAUUUAUAUAUAUAUUGAUAUUCAACUCAAAUGAGUUUACCCCUCUUAAAUCCAUACCACAGUUCGUAAAUAAUGUUUAAUAUAAAUAAAAAAAUAGAAUAUCGUCAAUUAUUUUUAAAAAAUGUUUUUGAUUAUCGACAUUUAGAAGUAAAAGAUCUAAAAUGAAUGGAAACAAUGGGUAUAUAUAACAAUUAUUAUGUACAUAAUUACAAUAAACAUAUUGGGAAAUACGUGUUUAAUUUGUUUACAAUAAACUUUCCGUCUAUAGAUGAUUGGAGUUACAUUAGAGCAAGUUUAUUUACUAUAAAUAGAAAAGACAAAACUCAAAAAUAUCUUAAAUUUAUUGUUUUAGAAGUAAAAUAUUACAUCCAAAAUUCUACUAAGUGACACAUAUAACAACAUAUAUAGGAUAAUGCAACAUCAAUAAUUGAUACUCAUUUUUCCUUUAUUGAGGUGCAUGGAUCAAAUUAGGAGGAAAGUGAUUGAAUGUUUGUGGGGGUUAAUUUAUUUCAUAAAGAAAUUUGAAAGAAAAAGAGAAUUUUCUUAAGAGGUGUGGUUGAAUUAUAAAUUUUGGAGGGGUCAAAAUUGAAUGUAUGAAAUUUGAAGGGUUUAAAGUGUACUCUUAAUAAUUGAAUUAAAACUUUGUAAUUUUUAAAGGGGUUAAAUUAAAAUUUAUCAAUUUUGAGGGUAAAAGUCUUUGCCUACCUCUUAACAUUGUCCCUAUUAAAACCUCAAAAAUUCUUGACCUUUUUUCUUUCAACAUUUAGCACUCUUAGACCUGUUCAUGGGCCGGGCCGCCCGACAUGUGGAGGGUUUGGGCAAAAAUAUAAGCUAGAGAAAUGGGCUUCGACAAAAAAAAUAAGGCCCGUUUAAAAAACAGCCAGGCCUCGGGUAAGGCAUUUUUCGCCCUGCCCGACCCAGUCUGAAUUCACUAAAUGACAAAAAAAAAUAUUCUUUUUUUUGUUUUUUAUUUUUUUGUUGUUUUCUCCCUAUUUUGCUAUCAUUUUACUAUUAUGUUGCUACUAUUUUGUUGUUAAUAUUUGAAUAUUAUAUAAAACUUAUUUUAUUGUUAAUUUUGUUAUUAUUUUAGAGGCAUUUGCUUGUUAAGUUGCAUCUAUCUUAGUGUUAUUUAAGUAUAUAUACUUUUAAAAAUUUAUUUUCAAUUUGUUGAGAAAAAUUUAUUUUGAUGUUUUUAGUAUUUUUGAUAUAUUAUAUAUUUUUUAAAAUAAUAUAAAAAUUAAUUUGGGUGGGUCGGGUAAAGCCCGAGUUUUAGUAUUUUUAUCCGGGUUGGACUUAGACAAAAUUUUAGAACCAUUUUUAAGGUCGGGUAGAGCUUGGGCCUCACAGACGGGCCUGAAAUUGUAGUUGAACUCGGCCUGACCCGCCACAUGCACACCUCUAAGCACUCUUCUCUCAAUUUCUCUUAUCAUUUCACUUACUCUCUAGAAUUUUUACUAGAUAGAUGAUUAGGGGUGGAAAAUUCUUAUUAAGCACCUGAAUAUUUGAAAAUUUUAAUAGACACCCUAAAACUUUAAGACAUUUUCUGUGUUGUAGAUAAUCAAUCUUUCUAAGACUUUUAAUUAAUCUCCAUCAUUUGGCAACACAUUUUUUUUUCGAGAUUUAUUGAUUAAUAUUGAAAAUUUAAAAUUAUGGCUUCAGUUGUGAUUGAUUAAGACUUUUAUGCAAGAUUAAAUUUUUUUAUUUAUUUAAUGGUUUUGGCAUAUUAAUUUUAUAUGGGGUUUAUAAAUUCUAAUGUCUUGGGUAAUAAUUGUUAGAUAUUAAUUAACACAAAUGUUUAAAGAAAUUAUGAUUGAUUGUCUUUCUAAUCUCAAAUUUCUUAAAUAUUAAUUAGAAACUUAAUAUUUCUGCUCAAAAAUUGUUGUUAUUACUUAUUAGUUUUCUCUUUCUUUUUUUUUUUUGUGUGUGCGCUUUUUAUAUAUUGUAUUCUUGUGACACCAAAAAAUAAUUUAAUGGAAGAAAUAUUUUAGUUAUUUUAAAAAAAAUUGUAAAAGUGUUUCAAUUUUUUAUAUUAAAGCAUAAUGCAACAUUCAAAAAUAAAUUACAAAAUAGUUGUUGCUUCUUCGUAAAAGUGCUAUGGAGGCCUCUACAUUAGGAGUUUAAUUAUAUUUUGCUCCCUUUACUAAAAAAUGGAUAAAUUAACUUCUGUGCAUUAGAUUAAAGUGCAAUUUAGUUAAUUUUGUUAAAAAUAAUUUCAUUUAUUUGUGUUGUUUAAAACUGGCUUAUCUGGCAAAAUAACUAAACAAUGAUAUAUGGUGUGUCACAUGUACGUCAUAUUGCCAUGCAUAGAUUAGUUUUUAAAAGUAGAAAUUGAUAAAAAAAAUUUUAACAAAAUAACUACUUUAAUCUAAUGUAUAAGAACUAAUUUACUUCUCUGACUUUUAUUACAAGGCCUCUAUGCUAAUUUUACCUUCCUAUUCUUAUCAUCCCAAAGUUGUCAUCCUACAAAAUGCUUUGCCUGACACCAAUUUGCUUCAACAUAGUACUUCUAUAUUAGUAUUUAUAUGAUACUUAGGAUAAAAUUUUUAUUAUUGGAAAUUUAAGCUAGACUAGCUGGACCUGAAUUAAGAAAAAAAAUAUACUUAAUAGGCUGGUCCCUCUAAUAUGUAUAAAAGCAUUGAUAGCCAAAACUAUAUGUGAUGCAGGUACAAAUAAAUUGUCUAAUUAAGACAUGAAAUAAAAUUUUAAAUAAUUAUACUUGCCACUGAAUUUUUUGUGAAUUUUGAAAUCUUUGAAGAAAAAAAAUGUAAAAUAAUUGUUUAUCAAUUCACAAUAAUCCAUCAAUCCUCUGAAUUAACAUGCAAAGGAUAGGAAAUUAUAUCUAUAAGAGAAUAAGGUUAUUAUGAUAUUCACUAUUAUCGACCCAUAAUUUGACUGGGUUCGGGUCGAGUUCUAUACAAUUAAUAUUUCAAGUUCGCGCAUGACACCACACAAUGUUGGGUUCACAUGCCAUCACAUAUGCAAACUCCCAUUCGUACAAACAUGUGUUAGACCUAAAGUAGGGUACAUGUAGACAUAUAUGAAACUUAUCUAUGACAUCACAUUUAUGAACAAUAACUAGAUCAUAUAAAUCCACACAAAAACACUCAAUAGAUGUAGUUUUUAUUCAAAUGAAAUAUAUAAUAUUAUCUUAUAUAAUGCUUUAUUUUUAUUUUUAUUUUCCAUUUUUCACUCUCAUACAAACCUAUCAACUAUUCUCAUUACUGCAGUUGAAAGUUCCUCGUAAACUCCCAUGUCAAACGUGACACUAUUUGGAAAGUUAAACCGUAAAGCCCCCACAUUCAUCUUACAAACAACUUCUCCUUCGAGCGCUUGUUUCACCAGAAGAUUCGUUUGAUCAUAUUCUUUCCCCUUCAAUCGGUUCGUCGCAACAGUCAGAUUGGUUUUUGCAUAGUAAAACUCUUUCCCGCAACCUCGAAGAGCCAAUUUCAAGUACUUGUCGCGAGCGCCCAAAGCAAGAGUCGUCAUGUUGUUUAUCAAGGUCGUGGCUUUGUUGCUUAGACAAGUUAUGAUGAUGGCUGCAAUGCCUACUUUAUCGGCAGAUUGACUUCGAGGAUCGGAUUUUAUGCAUUUUAUGCAGGUUUCGGGGACUUCAGCAUUGUGACAUUGGGUUUCAAUCAGGGCAUCGUCGGCGAAAACGAGGUUUCGCUGGUCGACAUUGUUGAAAAAGAUGAAAAGGAGGAGAAAAGGAGUAAGAUAGUAAGGAGGCAAGAG